RNAcentral lists this long non-coding RNA (61873 nucleotides) under Citrus maxima (pomelo). Its description in RNAcentral is "long non-coding RNA (CMAX_LNC003861)". Lineage: Eukaryota; Viridiplantae; Streptophyta; Magnoliopsida; Sapindales; Rutaceae. The record is from RNAcentral.
GUGGCGGCUUGACUACUUCCUAGUAUCAGAAUCUCUAGCUGAUAAGUUCCAUGAUUCAUACAUUCUUCCUGAUGUUACCGGUAGCGAUCAUUCUCCAAUUGGCCUUAUUCUCAAGCUCUAGUUCUUCUAGCGGCGUCAUAAAUGCUUCGUCUCAAUCUCCUACCUAUUAUUGAUUUGAUUUUGUCUGUGACAAAAUUUUGAAGAUGUUGGAAACUCUGUACAGAUCCAGCAGAAAUUUUCAGUUAGGAGGCACUCAAAUAGACACUAGUAUUUCUGUACUUGACAGCGUUGGCCGUUCGGAAACUAGCCAUUUUCUGAUUUUCGAAAUUAUUAUUGUUAACUACCUGAUUUUGAGGAGUAUUUGUCUGAUAUAAAUAUUAUAAUAAAUCUCAUACUUUAUAAAGGCUUAACUAAGUUUGUAAAUAUUAUUUUUUUUAGUAGUAAUGAUUUUGGAUCGAACUCUCAAAUCAUUAAAAUAUUUUAUGUCCAAAUUUCAUUAUGCCUAAUAUAAAUAUGGAGAUUCACAGUUAUUUUAUGUCUAGCUUUAGAAAACUGUAGUUCGAGAAUUUUUUGCCUCGUUAAAUAAUCUCUUGGAGUGAAAAAACUGAGGAAACGAGUGGUGAUUUAUUUGUAAUAGAGCGUUUGUUAUAGCUUUUAACUAUGCAUGAAAAUCAUUUGAUAUAUGUAAAUAGGUAACAUGCUUAUGCUGAAACUAGAUAUUACAUUGAAAACUUCUUGUCUGCUAUAAUUUGCUAUAUAUAUAUAACCUUUGCCAAAAGAGAAUAAGUUCAUUAGAUUAUUUUUUCUUAUUUAUACCUAUAGUAACUAUAGGUGUUCGCGGAUCGGAUUUUACGGAUUGGACAUCAAUCCAUAUCCGAUCCAUGAUUUUGCGGAUUAUAAUUUUUCAAUCCAAUCCAAUCAACGGAUUGAUAAAAUUCAAUCCAAAUCCAAUCCAUACAUCUGCGGAUCGGAUGCGGAUUUGACUCAAUCCAUAUCCAAUCCAUACGUCUGCGGAUCGGAUGAGGAUUGACUCAAUCCAUAUCCCAUCCACCAUUUUGCGCAUUAGUUUUCGAAUUAAAAAUUUUUAGUUCUCUCCAACUAAUGAAAUAAAAAAAAUCUAAUAUAAAAAUAAUUUUGCUACCAAUUAAAUUUAAAAUUGAAUAAAAUUUAAAUAAAUUAAUUAUUUAAAUAAAGUUAAAAUAAUACAUUUAAAGUUUCAAAAUAUAACACAUCGAGACUAAUUAUUCAAAUAAAGCUACAAUAAUACGUUCAAAGUUUCAAAAAUAUAACACACCAAGUUUAAUUGUUCAAAUAAAGUUACAAUAAUACAUUAAUAUAACACCGAAAUUAAUUGUUCAAAUAAAGCCACAAUUAAUUGAAAUGGCGAAGUUUCGGAAACCAAACACGGUCUGAUCUUUCACCAGGGCUGUUGCGCCUGUCGAAAAGUGGUGAUUACUGAGCCGUCCACGAUGGGAACCAGGAGAAGCCGUACGGGUGGCGAUCUUGAAGGUUGUGAUAGUGAAAUUGUUCAGCUGAAACCAGUGAAUGUGAAGUGACUCGAUGGACUUGGGAAAGAAGAUGGCUUGCUCUCGCCGGGAUCGCGCGGCCGAUGUCCUUCAAAUCCAUGUCGAGAGUGUAUCCAACCAGUAUUGAGUGUUGCUAGUGUGUGUGACGACGGGGAAGCUUAGGGUUUUUUGUUUGCAAAUUGUUGGUGACUUGACGUCAUGUUAUUUUGCUUUUGGGUGACUUUGCAAAUUGUUGGUGACUUGGCGUUAUGUUACUUUGCUUUUGCUAGUGCGUGUGACUUUGUUUUUAUUUUGUUUUACAAUUUUUACAAGUUAUAUUUGUAUAUUUGAUUAUUUAAUUAUUUAAUUAUUUUUCAUUUUAUAUUAUUAUUGGGUAAUGUCUAAGAUAUGUUAUAGUGCUUAUGUAACUAUGCAAUGUCACAUUUAUAUAUUUUUUUAAUUAAAUUUAUAAUAAUUUUUUAAUUAUAUAUAUAUAUAUAUAUAUUUUUUUUUUUUUUUUUUUUUUUUGCGGAUUCACGGAUUUUUGCGGAUUUACAGAAGUAAAUCCGCAUCCAAUCCAUCGACUGCGGAUUUUUAAAUUUUCAAUCCAUAUCCAAUCCACCAAUCCACGGAUCGGAUUUAUACGGAUCGGAUUGAGCGGAUUAGACGGAUUGAGCGGAUCGGAUUGGAUUCUGAACACCCCUACUAUAGUUGAAUAAACUAUAUAUCUUAGGUAGUUUUAAUGAAAUAAGCUACAACUUUCUUAUUUACUUAUUUUCCUUUGAAAAUAAUUGAGUUUAUUUGUAAAGAGCUUAUGAGAAUUUUUCUUUCUAAUGAAAUAAUUUUAUUUCUGUUAAUUGUUGUUUCUCUAAUGGUUGGGAGUUGGCAGCCAAUUUUUUUUUUCUUUUCCAUGUAUUCAUAUGCAAAUUUGAUUAAUGUGCUUGAAGUGUUUCUUCCUCAACUUCACUUGUAUCCUAACCCAUACAGCCUAUUAAAUGGAGAAGCUGCUAGUGUGAUAACAUAAUUACACUAUUUUUGUUCAAAGAGUGCAAGACAGUCAUCCUUCUCAAUUUAGUUUCUAGAUUUGUUAAAUUGAGCCACAAGUAGUAGGCAUUUGAUUGGGUAGUAGAAAUUUUUAUGUAUUUAAUUUAGAUUAUUUAGUUAUGAGAGUAGGAUAUUUCAUAUUUUGUUUAUUGAAGUAUUUGGAAUUUUUAAUAUAUACUAAUAAUAUUUAAAUAUGAAAUGAAAGAUUUUGUGACAUAAAUAAAUGUUUUUGUUAUUUUGUGGUGCCUUUGAAUGUUGCCAAUAAAUCAUUACGCAAUGAUCCAAUUCAAUAUUUUAUUUUUUUGAAUAAAUUAACCAAUGAUACCAUAGUAACAGUAAUUAUAGACACUAACAAAAUAUCAGCAACUACUAACACUAUGGUAUCAUAAUAUUGGUGAUAACGUAAUGUUAUUAAUCAUUGACAUCGUAUUCGUGAUACCACAAACAAGUGUCACUAUUUUUUUAAUUAUCAGAUUACUGACAUAAUUAACAAGUGUCACUAAAAGUAUUUAUGGACACUAUUCUAAUGUCAAUAAAAACCAUUUUCUAGUAGUGCAAUAUAAGACUAUGCCUCCUUACCUUUCUUUGAAGCAGAGUUAAAGAUCAUGCUUCAAAUAAAUUAUCAAAAUAGGUCUAGGCAAACUUCUUAUUAUAAUAUUAGUAAAAUUGUAUUGUAAUAUUCAUAAAAAAAAAAUUGGAGUAUUAAUGCAAACACAUGGUAUAAAGCAGUAAUUAAAAUUUUACGCACUUAAAAAUUCUUAUCCUGUUCAUUCCAAGUGAGGUAGUCCGAUGAUGGACAAAUAAGCAAUUUUAUAAACCUAAUUAUUCAAAUGUCGCUUCAAUACUUAGGAAUGAAAAUAUUGGGAUACAAAUCCGAUGUAAUGUUUUAUUUAUUCGGAGACAUAAAAGUCAUUUUAACCAUUCUGAGUUUAAAUUAAGAUUUCAUUUCCAUAACCACAUGCACCACGCUCUUAGGUCAUUCUUCAUAAUAAGCACAUAUUUGAGAGAGCUAGUGAAUUUGUGGAAUGAAAAUGGCAGUGAGCCCAUAUUAAGUUUUACAAGAACCAAGCAUUUGAUAGUAGUUUUACAUUAAAUAUAGAGAAUCAUUUUUUAGAUGCUUACCUCUCCUAACAUUCGAAUACAGACGGCCUUCUAAACUGUUGCUGGGACUUCGCAUUCGGAGUUGCUUAUAUUGUUCCCAAACAAAUUAAAGAAAGUAAAAACAGACUUGUCAAAUACUAUUUUCACCUCUCGUGCAAUGGAUUUCAAGGAUAUUUCAGUCUUUUGGGGUGUAGCACCUGAUAAUCUUCCACCUCAGAUCUCAACCUUUUGCUGGGAUCUUGAGCGUAUAUUAAAUGGGCUCCACAUUUUUUCACAUCAAAACCCUCUAUGCCUGGGCCCUCGAAAUGCUGAAUAUAGAAUUGGAUACAGAACUCGUUAUUGGAACCACCGAAUCUAUCUGAAGACACAGAGAAAUCAUACCCCAAAAGCACGUGAUCUGACUCGAUAGACGAACUUACUCCGUAAUAAUCCUCCCAUACAUAAAGGAAACAAACUGCAACAUCGUCUUUGGUUUUGAGUGUGCAUUGAACAUCAAAACCCCGUGUCUCGCCAUGAUGAUCUGGAACAAUAGCGCACAAACCAAAACCAACAAAGUUAUUGUUGAACCAACCUGGCGGCAGCUCAAGAGUUACAGAAGAUCCCAUACUUUGAAAGCUAAACCACUCUGGAAUUUCACUUCCAGGGUAACAGACAAAACUCCGAGAAGGGUUAUGAUCAUCUUUCUGCACCGCAAAAACGAUCAUUUUGUAUAAUAUUAAAUUUAACUUGGGGGAAAAAAGCAAUAAUAACUUAUAAACAUGUAUAUAUACGGACUUAUAUAGAGAGUUACCAGAUCGUCUUGUUUCCACCAUGUUGCCAUAACCUGAAUUUUCCUUAGAGCUCCUUCAACAAUUUCUCGGACCUCGUUCCGGUUCAAUUUGAAACAAUUGCCAAAGUCAAAUGUCUGGCAAUGCCGUGACGAACGUGUGAACAAUGUCGAUAAAUUUGAUAAUGUUUCCAGUGAUGUGCAGUGACGGGCAAUUAUGCUGCUACCGCAUGGAAGUUUUGGUAAGGAUUGAAGCCUCGUACAAUUGUGCAGUGUGAAGACCAACAACUUAGAUAGAUGUUUGAUGCUUGAAGGUAUUUUCUCAAAAUUGUUUUCUGCUAGAUUCAAAUAUUUUAAAGAGGGCGACUGGCCAAGACUUUCAGGUAAUUCUGUGAUGCCGCAAUCUACAAGACGCAGAACCACCAGAUUCUGUAAUUGAAAGAAAAUAGGCAAUUUCAAACCCAUUGGUGGCAAAUGACCCUUGCAUCUUUGAAAAUGUAAUGACCGAACCUCGUUCAACCAAGCAAUGGACGGCGGUACUUGGCUUAUAGCAGUUUCUUUGGCCCACAUAAUUUUCAGAGAAUUUAACUUUCCAAUUUCCUCCGGCAAUUUCUCAAGUUUUAAGCAACCAGAGAGAAAAAGGUUCUGAAGUGAUUUCAAAUUACAGAGGCUGCUCGAGACACUCUUAAGCCUUGAACAGUUUGUAAGCUCCAAAUUAACAAGUCUGGUUAGUUUUCCAAUCGAUGAAGGCAGUUCUUCAAUUGCAGUUUGGCUUAGAUCUAAGUCUUCUAUAUUACAAGAGAUCUCAGGAAACCUCUUCAAAUUUGAGCACCCUCCAAGCCAUAGCACUUUAAGGGAAACCAAAUUAAUUCCAGUUUCCUCCGGCAAUUUCUCAAGUUUUAAGCAACCAGAGAGAUCAAGGUUCUGAAGUGACUUUAAAUUACAGAGGCUGCUCGAGACACUCUUAAGCCUUGAACAGUUUGUAAGGUUCAAUUUAACAAGUCUGGAUAGAUUCCCAAUCGAUGAAGGCAGUUCUUCAAUUGCAGUUUCCCUUAGAUCUAAGUCUUCUAUAUUACAAGAGAUCUCAGGAAACCUCUUCAAAUUUGAGCACCCUUGAAGAUAUAGCACUUUAAGGGAAUCCAAAUUAAUUCCAGUCGGAAGACUCUUCAGACUAAUGCAACGACCUAGAUCAAGAAAAAAAAGCUUGUUGAGAUGUUGAAUAGAUGAGUGAAUCUCAAUCAAGCUUGCACAACCUACUAAAUCCAACCGCUCAAGAUUUAAGGCGAGUGAGAGGUCUGGGAUUCUGGAUAGCCGCUUGGAAUAGCUGAGAUUUAGACGCUUUAACGCAGCAAGGUUCUGAAAAGAAAAAAAAUCAACACCAGUAAUUAGCAUCCAUCACAUUUAAAAUUUGGUAUUGACAGAUUUUCAUAUAAAUAUUUAAGAUAUACCUGGACACCAUUCCAAAGUUGUUCAAUAUUGCUAUGAGGCAUUUCAAGUGAAACAAGAUGUUCUGGAAUAUUCUUUGAAGGCAAUGAUUUUAAAGGGUAUCCAUCCCAAUGAAAAUACCUAAAUUCAUUGAAAAGAGAUUCCAGGCAUCUUGAAUUCCGCACCUUACAUUUGUUCACUCCAGAAAAAGAGUUAUAGAAUUUGAAGAAUCUCAAUCUACACAUCUUUGUGAAAGUAUUAGGAUUCAAGCAUAUCUCUUUGACUCUAGACAUAUCCAAGGAGAUGCCCUCAAUUGCCUCACUCCCCUAAAAAAAAGGAAAGGAAAUAAUGUGUAAGGAAGUGCUAGAAUCCUAGAAUCCUAGAAUAUAUCUAUACGGUUCAUUAAGUUUUUUUUUGUUUCAUUUUCCCACGUUCUUUGUUAAGUCUAAGUUUCAAAUUACAUUUCCCAAAUUUCUUCAACUCUUAAAAUAUGAUGCAUAAGUAGGGACAUUUAAUGAAAAGCUUAGGAAUUAGGACAUAAAAUGAAAUCUCGGAAACAUAAACAAAAAUUUUGUUGCGUUGUUCAAUUAUUAUGACACAACGGCUUUACUCUAGAAUAACAUGUACAUUAUAAAUUUGAGAUUGACUAAUUCAUGAAAAUUUUAUCCUAUUUUGAAAUAUACUUAUCCUGGGCCCACACAAUAAUUCUAUAAACUUAAGAAAAUUUAUCUUAUGAUUCCCAAAGGAUUAAUUUAUUGAGAUCAAUUCUAUAACUCAAGUAUAUUUACUAAUUUAUCAAUGUUUAUAUUAUAUCAAUAUGUAGUGUUUAUAAUAAUAUUUUAUAUUAUAAUUAAAAAAUAUAAAUAGUUAAUAAUUCAAAAAUAAAAUUAUUAAUUUGAAAUUAUUAUUAUUAAUUUAAGUAUUACUAUAAAUAUUACAAUUUAAUUUGAAAUAAAUAACUAAUAAUUUAAUAAUUAUUGAUAGAUUAUCAAAUAGAAUAUUCAACAAAUUUCACUAAUUUACCUUUUAUUUAUUUUUAUAAUUCGUAACAUUACCUAUAUAAUCUAUACACUAUAACACAUCAAUCUACCAUUAGUUUUAUGUAUUUUCCUUAUUUUGUACAAAAGAGCUUUCGAUAUAUCAUAAUAUGUUUGUGGGCGAAUUAAGAAAUAAGAUUAUCAAUCUAACAAAGUACUAAACUAAUUCUUCCAUAACCAAAAUAGAAAUGGAAAUUUAAUGCUUUAACUCACAGUAUUUUUGUUCAAAACUUGAUAGAUGUCUUCAUAAUGCCACAAUCGACUGCGUUUUCCUGGAUCUUUAAUUGACUCUUGCGUCACAAUUUCCCUACCCAUUUCUUGUAGCAAAUCAUGCAUUGUUAUCUUGUUUUUUGAUAUAGUCACAAGGGACUUAUCAACAAGAUCACGUAUUCCUAUCUUUGCUGAAAAGCCACAGGCAUCUAGGAAAUUCAUAACAAGAUCUCGAUCAUUUCCCUUGAAGAAACAUGCAAUAUCUAGAAAGAUAUUUUGCUCUUCAUCAUCAAGGCCAUCAUAACUCACUUUUAACACUUUUUGGAUAUCCAUUUGAGGAAUUUUUUUCAGCUUGUUCACUGCACUUUCCCACUCUUCUUCACUCCUUCCAAAUAGAUAGCGCCCCAAAACCUUAAGAGCUAAUGGAACACCGUUCGCAUAUUUUAUCACCAUAUCUGACAACGCCAAAUAACCUGCUGCAUGAUGGUUUAGCCCAAAGGCAUUUCGACUGAAAAGCGUAAGAGAAUCAUUGUAUGAUAAUUCCUUAACCUCAAAUACAUGACCCACUCGACUCCCAGGAAGGUUCUUGAGCAAUUGUGCAUCUCUCGUUGUUAUGAUAAUUCGACUACCAGGCAUGAAGCAAUCGAGUCUAUCAAGACCUCCAAUUAAUAAUUCUAUUUGUUGUAUACAAGUCACAUCAUCAAAAACAAUCAGAACCUUCAUUCGGCUGAGCCUUCUUCUUUCAAAGUUGAGGCCGAUAUUGGGUAUGUCAAUCUUCAUAUUUCCAUCAUCUAGUAAUGUAGAAAGAAGUUCUCGUCGGAAACCAGCCAAUCCGAUAGCUUCUGACUUUUCUCUAAUAUUUUGCAUAAAAUAAGAACAUUCAAAAUGACUAUAGAUGUUACUGUAAAUAGCACUGGCAAUUGUGGUCUUGCCUAUACCACCAAUGCCCCAAAUGCCUACAGUGUUAAAUUCAGUUGACCCAGUCAAUAAGAGUGAUUCAAUUUCCUUGAUGAUUGAUUCCACUCCCACCAGCUGGUCUUUGUUAUCACUUGGAAAUAAAUCAUUCAGUUUCUUUAAAAUGUCAUUCACAAUUCCCUCUAUAAGUACAUAUUCGGACCUAACAAGUAAGAAAAAUAGCAGUAAGAUUGAAUGUAGAUAAAAAAUUCUUCAAUAAAGAUGAACAUUGUGUUUAUAAUUUCAAUUGGUAACAAUGCCGAGGUUUCACGCUGAAACUGGAUCAAAGAAAAGAAAAAAAAUAGAAAUUAAUUUUACAAGAUAGUGACCAUCGCCUAAUGUUAAAAAUAUAAUUUUAUUAUGUAUAAUAGUUUAUAAACUUUUUGAUCUGUUUUAUCUUUCACUAUUUAUUUUAAAUAAUAUCCCAAAAUAUAAGCAUAUUAUGUUUGGCCUCUUACCGUGGAAGUUAGUAAGGAUGUCAAAAAUACCCAUCCGACUUGAACAUCACUUGAUAAGUUCGUGGUCCGGUCCGGAGCCCAAAUUUUAUAAAAAAAAAAUUAUAAAAUAUAUAUUAUUUUAAAUAAUUAUAUUUAUUUGGCUCAACUAUUACAUAUAUUUAAAAUUUUAAAUAUUUAAAUUUCAUAUUUUCAUUCCCAAUUUCAUUAAAAUAAAAUUAAAAAUUAAAAAAUAUACAUAUAUAAUAUUACAAAAUAUAAAAUCUAGGUUUUUUAAAGUCAUAAAAAAGCCCUGGCCUGGUAUCCAAAAAACAUGUCCACACCAGAUCCGAGCAUUGCCAUACUCGAUGAGCCCCCAAGUUUUUGCCAUCCCUAGAAGUAAGAGGUUAAGAGUUUCCUUCGUCUCUUUUAGGAAUAACUUAGAUGUCAUGAAACAUUAGACAUAUUAUUAGAAGAGAUUCAAGCUACUUACAUCAAACAUUAAGUAUUAAUUAAUGUUAGGUAUUCCAAUAGUUGAGCCAUAGUUUGAAUCAAAAUGAUGUAAUAUUUACUAUCUAGUAGAUGAAUGACACAUAACGGUUGGACUCAAGUUAAGACUCAGCUGUUGUGAUCCGAAACUUUAUUGUCAAUUAUUUUAAUGAAGUGUAUUGGUGCUUUCAAAAUCUUAAUAUGUACAAUUCCUUCCCUAUUGUGAUUAUAUACACGAGAUGGUAGAAAAUUCUGCGAAAAGAGUUACCUAAUGCCAUGAGAAUCAAAGCCGGAUAAAUUGGCUCCCUCCCUCAUAGCAAUCCUCCAUGUUUGCAGCAUAUCUAUCUUCUCCUUAAACCGUUCUUCAAGCUUCGAAAAUGAAUCCCCAAAAGUUCCAGUUUGGUUUCUUACAUCUGAUGGAUCAACGAGGUAGAAAACUGGGACUACAAUCUGUCCAUACUUGUUCUUGCUUUCGAGGAUCUUCACAAGUUCAUUCAAGCACAAUCUGGAAGAAGCAUACCCUUUCGAGAAAAUGACAAUCGAAAUCUUUGAUCCUUCAAUUGCACUCGAAAGUGAAGGAGAAAUUUCAUUUCCUCUAUUAAGUUUGUCAUCGAUGAAAGUUUCAAUCUUUUUCCGGCACAAAGCUGCAUUGAGAUGGCUGAUAAAGUUGUGGCGAACAUCCUUGCCUCUGAAACUAAGGAAAACAUCAUACUUUAUAUGAGGAAUCAUAUUGAUCGAUGAUGAAGAAGAAGCCAUCUGUCAUUCCUGGUGAUGAGAUUCUUGAUCAGAAAAUUUAGAAUGCAGAAAACAUUAAAUUAGAAGACUGCAUCAGAUAAAGCAUUUGGAGCGUAUAGAAAAAAAAUAAACGCUGUCUUUUGUUGAUUUUUGUAACGACCUGCCUCACUAGCAAGAUUUAAUGCUGACCUCAAAAGUCAAACGAACGCUUCCGGUUGCCUACACUUCUACCCCACUGGGCAAAUUCCAUUGGUUGGGAGUGAAUUAUUGUGUUAUAUUACUUUGGACUAAAAUUGUGGAUCAUUGCUGUGAGAUGGCGAGUGUCAUCAUUUCAUGACUAUGAUUGAUCAUCCCAAAGCUAAACUGGUAGUGUAACUUUGUUGAAAAUUUGAAAUAAUACAUUUAAUUCAAUCUUUCUCUCACUUUCAGAACAUAAAUUAUUCUGACACUAGUGAUUUUGAAGGUGCAAUGAAUAGGGCAAUCCACGAAACAUGCUUGUAUACACUAGCCGCUGACUUUCUCCGUAAUGUCUGGUUAUAAGCAUCUGAGAGAGCUCUGUAGAAUAUAAUGUUUAAAUGCACUUUACCAUGAUUAAAUUUGUAACUUUGGUCCACUAGUAACAUUAAGGUUUCUUGUCAGUUUCUUCCAUAACCAAAGUGCCACCAAGUACAUCUGUUGCAUUUUGUAUGUGCUUUUUUGAAAUGUAUAAUUAGUUUAACAACGGAAUUCUGCUUUUCAGCAAGAAGUGCAGAAAGGAACCGAAAAAGUUCAAGAAAUGCGAAAAAGUAGCUGUGCAUUUCCACUUAUUCUCUUAGGAUCUGUCAUUUCAGUUUUAUGUGAGGAUUUUUAAUAAAAGCUUCAUGGAAAGGAGUGAAGUAUCUUUGCUUGAUAUCUAUGGUGAGGAGACAUAAAAAAGGCACAAAGUUAAAGAUUGCAGAACAAAUUAUUCUCAAUCGGGGAAAGGAAUUACUUAUUAACGCCAUUGCUCAAGCAAUUCCUACAUAUGCUUCGAGCAUCUUUAAGAUUCCUUGGGGACUAUGAGAAAAUAUGCAAAAGUUGCUAUCGGCAUUCUGAUGGGGUGAGAAGGAAACGGGCAAAGCAAUUAGGUGGGCUUUGUAGAAAAAGAAUGGAGGCCAAUGAUCUUGAGAUCUUGUCUGCUUCAACCAAGUUUUUCAUGCAAAACAUUGAUAAGAGUAUCCUAAUUCCAUAGUGUGAUAAAAGCCAGAUAUUUCAAGACUGUAUGGAAGUUAGAUAUAAAUGAUUGUUUUGAUGUGGGUUGUGUUGAACCAAGCUACAUUUAAUAAUGGAACAUUGACAAGGGCAUAUUCUUUUUAGGAUUCCUUCUGAACAGUAAACCUAGAACAUCUUUCUAGAAAACUUAGGUCUGAAAGAAGACAUGACCUCUACUUAGGGCUGGUUGAACAGUUGAAGCUCACUGUUGAUGAAGCCAUAAUAUAUCCAACAAGCGUGCUGGUCUUGUAUACGCAAGAUUUUUGAAGCUAAAUGGAAGAUUGCAAUGGAUUGCCACACAAAAUGUUGAGGUACAUACUGAAUCUGGAGAAAAAUGCAUUGCAAUAAUACAAAAAAAUAACUCAGCAGCCUCAUCAUCUUUAUCCUUUAGCUUUGUACAACCUGUUAAGCUUGAUCAAACAAAUUAUCUUGUGUGGAAAACACAAGUUCUUGCUUCCAUCAUCAGGAAUGGUCUAGAAGGUUUAAUUAAUGGAGGUAAUCCCUGUCCUGCACAGUUUUUAUCAGAAUCUAUGGCGGAAUCCAGUAGAUCAAGUGUUAUAGUUGUAAGGCAAAUUAAAAAUCCAGAAUAUAUUCAGUGGAAGAAAACUAAUAAGCUACUUCAGAGCUGGUUGUUCUCUUCAAUGAUGGACAAUAUGCUGAUAAUGGUGAUAAGUUGUGAGACUUCUCAGGAUCUUCAGGAACGACUUGCCGAAAUUUUCAUGUCUCAAUCAAAGGCUUGGUUUAUGGCUCUAAUGAUGUAGAUCCAGACUAGUAAAAACGAAUCACUCUCCAUCAGUGAUUACUUCAACAAGACAAAGAAAAUUUCGGAUACCUUAGCUAUUGGAGGUAAUACACUCUCAUCAAAUGAGUUCAUUAUGCAUAUUCUUGCUGGUCUGGAUGACUCCUAUGAAUCACUUGUUACAAAUGUCUUAACUAGACUUGGGAAGGAAAAUAUCACAGUUGAAGAAUUGUUUUCAAUGCUGCUUAGCCACGAAAUAAGACUUGAAAUGAGUAAAGGAAAAACACAGUUUGAUGUGAUGCAUGAUAUGAGUGCAAAUAUUGCACAAAAACGACAGCAUUAUAAUAAGCCUAACAAUAAUAUGCUUGACAAUAGAGGAUCUAGAAACUCUUUUGGUGGAGAUAAGAAUGUAAUUUGUCAAAUCUGCUUCAUACCUGGACAUAAUGCAUAUAAAUACAUAAACAGGUUCAAUCAUGCAUUCAUUCCUUGACAAGGAAGGGGUAAUCCAGGUUGUUUUAGGCCUAGAGGUGGCCAAUUCUUUGGAGGAAAUUAUGGAAGAGGCUUUAGAAGAGGUUUCAAUGGUGGCUUUCCUAGAUCAGCACCUUAUCAAGGUUAUGUUACUUAUUAAUCACCUUAUAACUAUCAACAGCCUCCAAUGCAACCAAGCUUUAUAUAUCUUGCUGCUAAUAUGUAUGCAGGAAAUGCAAGUUUGAAUUCUGAACAAGCUUUUAUUGAUUCUACUCAAGGUACUGCCGCUGCUUCACAUGUCAAUCCUAAUGCUUUCAUUGCAAUCAGUCAAGGUGCUGCUGCUGCUCCUCUGGCGAAUUACAAUGUUGUUGCAGAUUCAGCUUGGUAUAUUGACUCAGGGGCUACAAACCAUGUUACUCAAGAUGCAGAUAUAUUCUUAUCCUGUUCUAGAUAUACUGGUAUUGAGAAAUUAUAUAUUGGAAAUGGUUUAGGCUUGCAUAUUCAAUUUUUUGGGACAACUAAUAUAAAAUCUCUUAAUUCUCCAAACAUUCACCUCACCAAUGUGUUACAUGAACCAACUAUCACUAAAAAUUUACUUAGUGUUUCCAAAUUGUUAACUGAUAAUAAUGCCAUUGUUGAGUUUCAAAAAUAUUUUUGUUUUGUUAAGGACAAGAGCACAGGAUCAUAUUGCUUAAGGGGAUUGCUAGAGAUGGACUUUAUCAAAUUGAAGGACUCACCAUAGUCUCUGCUUCUGAUAAACCUUAUGUUUUGUUGUCUUCUAAGUCAAUGUCUGUAAUCAACUCCAAAACUGGUCUUAUGUCAAUGUUUUCUCAGUUCAAUAAAUCUAAUACUACGCAUCUCUUUGAAGUAAAAACCUUUCAAUUUUGCUGGCCUUGAACAAACCAUACCUUGGAUCUUUUAUCACAAGGCUAUUGGUGUUUCUAAUUUUUUUCCUUUUUGUGGAGGGGAAGGCUGCCUCUCCUGCUAUAUCCAAAGUUUUUGAGUCAAUUCCGGUGAGAUCUGCUUCCUCAUUUGCCUGUAAUAAUUAGGACUUUUCAUUGUUAUUUUGUUGCAAAGCUGGAAUCAUUAUUCAGUUUCUUUUGUUUAUGGCCUUAUGAAACUUUGGUCUGUUUUAAGAAAGUCUUGCGAGUAGGCUGAAAAAUGAAGCUUUUGUCUUUGGAAAAAGAAAGGACGAGCAAAUAAGUAUCCAAUAUGGUGAGAGCACAAGCUUGAAAAUAAAUACCCGUGGAUUGACAUCGUGCAACAGGACGUAGACAAACCUCCACCGACCACCAUCAUUAACAUUUAAUUGGGAUCACUUCCCUUUUAUCUUUUCGAUAUUGUAUGGCUAUAGUUUGCCUUUGGUUUCCUCUUAUGAUGAGAUUGUUAUACAAAAUUUCCUUUUCAGAUUUUAUGCACUGUGUGCCUGAUGAAUUGUGUUUUAUUUUGUUUUGUUUAUAUUAUUUGGGGUAGUCGCAUCUGGAAUGAGACCUGAUUGUCGAGCUUCUUCUAUAAACCAUGUAAUUACGAGUUAUUUGUGAUGCAAUCCCCGAAUAUGGAAAUGGCUAUUGUCAUGGCAAGGGUAUGGGUUUUACAUUUACAUCUACAGCAUGUAACUCUUUGUAUAUGUCAUAUUCAUACGUUUUGAUGAUAACACCUUCUUCUUAUAAACUUUUAGGAUGCAGGCAUGGAUUGGAUUAUUCAUCUUGAUACGGACUAGCUAAUACAUCCUGCGGGAGCUCGUGAGUACUCCCUGAGACAGCUGCUGUCAGUUGUACCUAGCAAUGUGGAUAUGGUAGCCUUCCCUAAUUAUGUGAGUGGAUCAAUACUUAUUAUGCAGAUGAAAAAUUCCAUUAGUAUAUGUUUUGGUGCAAAAAGAAUUUGACACUCUUUGUUUUGAUGGUCCCUUUAUUUUUUCGCGUUGACAUGAAUGAUAAUGGUGCAAUACAAUUUGUUUAAGGAGAGUUGUAUUGAGCGAGACGAUAUCAAGGAACCUUUCAGCGAGGUAGGAUCCUCUCUUUUGGUUGCUUCCCAUGCUUCUGGUUGGGUAAACAGAUAAAUCAAUAUAAUAUCAAAGUUAGUCAUUCUAGGCUCGUUUAUUAAAGGCUUCACAAGUUUUUUCUAAUAUGAUUAUCAUCUGCAAGUUUUCUUGACAAUCUUGGAUGUUUGCAUCUUAACACGAGGACAAAACAUUCGUAAUUGUUGAUCUAACACGUUGUCACAGGUGUCAAUGUUUAAGAAGAACUAUGACCAUCUUCCUAAAGAUGUUUACUUUGGAAACUAUAGGGAAGCAACCAGCAAUAAUCCAAACUACUUUCUAACAUAUGGAAAUGGUCAAGCAUUUCAGAGAGGAAGUGAAGCUCUGAAUGACCAAUUCACCUGAAUGAAUAGACAUUUUAUAUAACUUAUUAAAUAUUGAAUAGAUCUCCUAAUUGGGAAAAAAAAGUGACAACAUUUACUUGAAUAUACUUUGUGCAAAGAAUUUGGGAGAGAUUCACUAGUUUAUACUAGGAUGAUGUACGUCUGUGUUAGUUACACCUUAUUUGUUACAAGCUUCUGGUAGACCGCUUAUAUGGAUUACUUUUUACUAAUAUAUUGAAGACAAUACUUUAGAUGAAGCUGUAAUCAAAAUAUAGAAAUUGAUUGUGGAUCAAAUAUCCUGGGGGAGAAGAAGAAAGAGAUAACAGAGUUGAGAGCAGUGGUAACAAAUAAGAAUAUGGAUUAUCCAUCAGGGUAAUUUUGGCAGUAUAGCCAGGACAGGCUGGCCAGGUGUUGCACCCAUAGCCUGACCUUGCCCCAUCCCCUAUUUGUGGUUUUACUUUUUAUCCUCAAAUUUCCUUGAUCCCUAAAAUGUUAAGAAAAGCGUUACCCUGCCAUGAUGGGUUUAUCGCAGUUCCCAUUAGAAUUGGGAACCAAUACUGUUCCCAUCCCUUUAUAUACUUUGUGUGUCUUAACAAUUUUAGCAUGGUCAUUAUGAAAAUCUCUUUAUUGAAGUACUGGUUAGUGGUCACGGUAGUUCAGCUUAUAUCUAUUUUCAGUUGAAAGUUUUGGUAAGGAUCAGAAUAUUUCCAUUUUCUCAUUUGUUGACACAGGCUUAAUACUACCGUGUAAUCUUUGAUAGUGAAAUCAAAAUGGAUGACGCUGCUGUCCUGCAUUACACAUACACCAAAUUUUCUGAUCUGACUUCAAGACGUGAUCGGUGUGGCUGCAAGCCUACAAAGGAAGAUGUUAGAAGAUGCUUUAUGCUGGAAUUUGACCGAGCCGUGAGUUUUUUUCCUUUGCACUCUUUGUUCUUUACAAUGCAGCAUCUAUGUUACUUCAUUCUGAUUCAGCAUCAUUGCUCCUAUUAUUUUAAUUUCAUGUGUCUUUUUAAUUUUUUCACCACUAAAUGUACAUAUGUUUUCUACUUUGUUAAGUUAGCUUCAAAGUAAAGUUUUUGUCGUGUAGAAUUUGUUCCAGAUAAACGGCAACUACAGUCAAUUCCUUCUAAGAGCAAAGUUGUAUACACAAAAAGAGGCAAAAUAAAUUCCUCACAAAAUAAUCUAUAAAAUUUCUCAAGGAUAAUUGAAAAGAAUUCUGUUGAUGCCGAAAUCCGGAUAAGUUGGUCAGAUCUCAGAUCUCUGCAUCAUCAUUAAAUUUGUUUGGUGGGAAGCUGAUGAUUAGUUAGCACCAUGAGCAGAUUUUCUAUGAGCAGAUGUUCUGUGAGCAGACAACCCAUGAGCAGACAAUCCAUGAGCAGACGAUCCAUGAGCAGAGAACUCAUGAGCAGACGAUCUAUGAGCAGAUAACCCGUGAGCAGACGAUCCAUGAGCAGAUGACCUAUGAGCAGACAAUCCAUGAGCAGACAACCAAUGAGUAGACGAUCCAUGAGCAGAUAACCUGUGAGCCUGUGAACACAACCAACAGUCAAGAGGUGCCGGAAGUUUUUCCGGCGAGAACCCUCCGACGCUCAAGUCAGCGAUUCGGGUCUUACUUGGAAAAACUCAUACCACAAUUCAUGUGGCUUAAUUAUGAUUGCUUUAAACAAAAAGCUUUUAAGUAAAUUUAAAGGAAAAGAAUCCAAAAUAAUCAAUCUUAAAGAAAUCACAGGCGAAAGAGAAAUUUCUCUGUGGUAGAGAGAGAAAAAGGUCCCAUGGGUUCAGUUGCUUAAAGAGAGAGAGAGAGAGAAAAAAAAAAAGAGCCCUUCAAGAAUCCCCUUCCUCGAGUUUUUAUAGGAAACUAUAGCGGUUUUUAUCUCCACUCUCUUAUAAUUCUCAAGAAAACUACUAAUUUUCAGCCCACUAACAAUAUGAUCCCUAAUAUUUCAGAGAAAAUGUUUUGACUGAAUCGUGCUUCCUGGUAACUUCCUGGUCGAGGUGAUGUGCUCGAGGUCACCACAUAUUAUUCUGGUCGAGGUGACCAAUAAUAUCCUGGUCGAGGUGAUCUGCUCGAGGUGACCAAUAACAUCCUGGUCGAGGUGCUGUGCUCGAGGUCACCACAUAUUAUUCUGGUCGAGAUGAUCUGCUCAACCAUUUGCUCACUUUUACCUUGAGGAGAGCACGAUAAUGUAUAACCAAACACAUUUAUCUUGGUCACCCUAUUUCAUUCCCUAAACACUAGUCCCCCAGUUUCUAGUGUUGAGAGUGAAACGAAUCAAGACUGGAAACUUUAGUGGUCUGCUCGUCUUCGCUUGGUUGAGCAGAUCCUGGUAUGCUUGGCUUUCUGUCUCGCCAUAAAACAUGCUUUGAGACUUUGGAGCCUUUGCACGCCCUAGAAACUUUUUGAAAGUUUGGUGGUCUGCUCGCCUUCGCUUGGUUGAGCAGAUCCUGGUAUGCUUGGCUUUCUGUCUCGCCAUAAAACAGGCUUUGAGACUUUGGAGCCUUUGCACGCCCUAUAAACUUUUUGAAAGUUUGGUGGUCUGCUCGCCUUCGCUUGGUCGAGCAGAUCCUGGCACGCUUGGCUUCUGGUCUCGCCAUAAACAGGCUUUGAGACUUUGGUGAGCCUUUGCAUGCCUUAGGAAUUUUUACAACGUUUGGGAGUCUGCUCGCCUUCGCUUGGUCGAGCAGAUCCUAGCACGCUUGGCUUCUGGUCUCGCCAUAAACAGGCUUUGAGACUUUGGUGAGCCUUUGCAUGCCUUAGUAAAUUCUUCAAUGCUUGGGAUUCUGCUCGCCUUCUCGUGGUCGAGCAGAUCCUGGCACGCUUGGCUUCUGGUCUCGCCAUAAACAGGCUUUGAGACUUGGUGAGCCUUUGCAUGCCUUAGUAAAUUCUUCAAUGCUUGGGAUUCUGCUCUCCUUCUCAUGGUCGAGCAGAUCCUGGCGCGCUUGGCUUCUGGUCUCGCCAUAAGACAGGCUUUGAGACUUGGUGAGCCUUUGCAUGCCUUAGUAAAUUCUUCAAUGCUUGGGAUUCUGCUCGCCUUCUCGUGGUCGAGCAGAUCCUGGCACGCUUGGCUUCUGGUCUCGCCAUAAGACAGGCUUUGAGACUUGGUGAGCCUUUGCAUGCCUUAGUAAAUUCUUCAAUGCUUGGGAUCCUGCUCGCCUUCUCGUGGUCGAGCAGAUCCUGGCACGCUUGGCUUCUGGUCUCGCCAUAAGACAGGCUUUGAGACUUGGUGAGUCUUUGCAUGCCUUAGUAAAUUCUUCAAUGCUUGGGAUCCUGCUCGCCUUCUCGUGGUCGAGCAGAUUCUGGCACGCUUGGCUUCUGGUCUCGCCAUAAGACAGGCUUUGAGACUUGGUGAGCCUUUGCAUGCCUUAGUAAAUUCUUCAAUGCUUGGGAUUCUGCUCGCCUUCUCCUGGUCGAGCAGAUCCUGGCACGUUUGGCUUCUGGUCUCGCCAUAAGACAGGCUUUGAGACUUGGUGAGCCUUUGCAUGCCUUAGUAAACUUUGAUUGGUUUCUUAACGCUAGCCUAGCUCUCUUUUCUUAAAUCAUUCUCAUAUUGAGUAACUUUCAAGAAAUCAAGUUAACUAAGUUAUACCGUCAGCCCUAAUAUGAGCACAAUCAAUUUAAUGAAUAUAAGGUAUCCUCAUCUCACGUAGCAGGAUUUAGAGAAAUAAUUAAAUUUUCAUGAAAAAAUUGCUUGUAAAUAAAAAUUUAACUUCUGACCUGUUCUGAUUUCUACAAACGUGUGCCUUCAAUGUGCUCUCAUUUAAGGUUUUUGGUACCUUGUUUAAGCAAGCUCAUCCAUUUAUGCACUGUAAUAUUCUGAUUUGCUUCGACUAGAUGAAAAUUGAUAAAGACAAAAAUUUGGCUUUUCGUACGAGUCCCCACAGACGGCGCCAAAUGUUGAUGCCGAAAUCCGGAUAAGUUGGUCAGAUCUCAGAUCUCUGCAUCAUCAUUAAAUUUGUUUGGUGGGAAGCUGAUGAUUAGUUAGCACCAUGAGCAGAUUUUCUAUGAGCAGAUGUUCUGUGAGCAGACAACCCAUGAGCAGACAAUCCAUGAGCAGACGAUCCAUGAGCCGAGAACUCAUGAGCAGACGAUCUAUGAGCGGAUAACCCGUGAGCAGACGAUCCAUGAGCAGAUGACCCAUGAGCAGACAAUCCAUGAGCAGACAACCCAUGAGCAGACGAUCCAUGAGCAGAUAACCUGUGAGCCUGUGAACACAACCAACAGUCAAGAGGUGCCGGAAGUUUUUCCGGCGAGAACCCUCCGACGCUCAAGUCAGCGAUUCGGGUCUUACUUGGAAAAACUCAUACCACAAUUCAUGUGGCUUAAUUAUGAUUGCUUUAAACAAAAAGCUUUUAAGUAAAUUUAAAGGAAAAGAAUCCAAAAUAAUCAAUCUUAAAGAAAUCACAGGCGAAAAAGAAAUUUCUCUGUGGUAGAGAGAGAAAAAGGUCCCAUGGGUUCAGUUGCUUAAAGAGAGAGAGAGAGAGAAAAAAAAAAGAGCCCCUCAAGAAUCCCCUUCCUCGAGUUUUUAUAGGAAACUAUAGCGGUUUUUAUCUCCACUCUCUUAUAAUUCUCAAGAAAACUACUAAUUUUCAGCCCACUAACAAUAUGAUCCCUAAUAUUUCGGAGAAAAUGUUUUGACUGAAUCGUGCUUCCUGGUAACUUCCUGGUCGAGGUGAUGUGCUCGAGGUCACCACAUAUUAUUCUGGUCGAGGUGACCAAUAAUAUCCUGGUCGAGGUGAUCUGCUCGAGAUGACCAAUAACAUCCUGGGCGAUGUGAUGUGCUCGAGGUCACCACAUAUUAUUCUGGUCGAGGUGACCAAUAAUAUCCUGGUCGAGGUGAUCUGCUCGAGGUGACCAAUAACAUCCUGGUCGAGGUGCUGUGCUCGAGGUCACCACAUAUUAUUCUGGUCGAGAUGAUCUGCUCAACCAUUUGCUCACUUUUACCUUGAGGAGAGCACGAUAAUGUAUAACCAAACACAUUUAUCUUGGUCACCCUAUUUCAUUCCCUAAACAAAUUCUUUUAAUUAAUAUAUGUAACUUCCCUAUGGCACAUCUUGCUGCUGGAAGAUAUUCACAAUCAUUGACUGUUUUUCAAAUUUUUUUUUUCUUUUUUUGAGGCUAACGGUGAAACAGUUUUAACAAUAGCUCUUUCAUAUUAUGUUCUGUGCAGGCAUUUAUAAUUGCCUCAACUGCAACAGAGGAUGAGAUGCUGAGCUGGUAAAAUAAUGUUAAAACUUAUAUAGUAUCCUAUUGAGGAAUUAACACAAUUUCUCACUUUAGAAGUUCCAAUUUUUUUUUUUUUUUGGGAACCUCUUGAGCUUUUAUGGGUUUCGUAUGUUAUAAGCUUCUGGAUAUCUCAGGAUAUAAACAGCUUUAUUCAUUGCGUUUUCCCCAGAAUUUGUUUCUCAUUUCAUAAUAUUGGUACCAGUUGAUGCGAAUUUAUUGCUUUCUCAAGACUACUGUUGAUACAGGUACCGUAAACAUGUUGUGUGGGCUGACAAAACACUGAAAAAGAAACUCAUGAUAAAUUUGAGUUGUGGCUAUUAAUUAGAUUAAACAUCAAGUUAUGCUAUGAAAUAUUGUCGCUGAUGCUAUUAAUUUUGAGUUGUGCAGUUGACGGAUGUUGUGUUGCACGUAUGCACCCAGUGUCUUAAAACUGUUUGAUAUUAUUUUCCUUCAUAGAUCAUUAAUCAAGGACUACGGGAAUCUGGGAUUUACGCCUCUGUAAUAGCAUCAGCGAAUACAAUGCUCUCAAAGGAGAAAAUUCUAUCAUCGGUUGAAAGUAGAAACAAUACUCGAGAAUCUAAAUCUGUAAAUUCUUCAAGAAAGAUUGGUGGUUUCGGUCAGUCACAGGCAACUGCAAGGAGGGUCUUGGAAUUUAUUGAUGAUGCAAAUUACACGUUAGCAAUCCCACCAGAAUCUCCCCCUGGCCCAGAUGAUCUUAACAUUGACACAUAAUCAUAUUACAUUAGCAGUGGUGAUUGUAUCCUGCUGCUUCCUUUUUGAACUGGGAUCUAAGAUUUUGUUACUAGGUGAAAGAGAAAACUCAAGGGCGUGAUAGAUAGGUCUACCUAUGGUUACGAGUUAUGGAGCUCUUACCGAUCAUUACCCAAGCGUUAGUGUACAUUUCAGAUUCAGAUUUUAGGUUCUAUAGAGUGAGAGAUGUAGAGCGGUAUUAUGACUGCUGGAGCUUUUUUUUUUUUAUAAUCUCAUAGUUGCAUAUUUUAGAAAUGAUUUGGCUUAUAACCUGGAUUUGUAAUUUGAACCACUGUGAUUGCAUUUUGUUAUACACAAUUACACAUUGAAAGGGGCAAUAUCAUAUUACUCAUCUCUUAUUGAAAAUAAAAAAUGAGAGGUUCGGCAUCAUCUACAAGUGUUUUCAUAGACCGGUGUCAGAUUAAUUUACCGAAUGUUGUUGUUUGCUCUUGAUAACUGCUUUUCUUGAACCAAAAGUGCUUCUUGUUCAGCCCUUAAAAGUUUCAUUAUCACUCACUUAUUUCAGCUUCUUAUGCUGCUUACCUGAAUUGGCUUUCUGCAUAGUGGACUGCUUUAUCUGAAUAGUCCUCUAAUAUCGAUGAAUUAACCGUAAAUUCAUGCAUAAUCCACAUGCCGUCUUCUUGAGGGUUGUUAAUAUUUUUGUUCUUGAAUCCUGUUGUAUUAUCAUCAGACUCGCAACCCAAUGCCCUGGCUCCAUCCACAGUUUGGGAAGCCCACAGCCCUGAUCUUCUUGAACCAUUAGCCGAUUUGGCCCAAAAAAAAAAUAAAAAUACAGAGCUUUAGUUUGCCCGUUCGGAGAUGUUGAGCUAUCGUUUGUACAAUUUCGGAGACUCUCGAUGCUUUGUUCUUGCCUGGCUUGCUAGUCAGACCCCUUUAUCUUCUAGAAACCGUGUUCUCCGAAUAGUUCAUCUGCCGUGGUUCUUUUUGCCCACAAACACCAUACUCUUUCGAAGGACUAUCAUCAAGAGCUGGGUUUUUUUUGUAAUCUUGUCCUACAGGAAGCUGCAAACCAGUUCUUGUUCGAUUGGAUGAAAUCUGUAAUCAACCUCAGGCAUCGUAAAGAACUUUUUUCCCGUAAAGAAAAACGGUUGAGGAAUCUUGGGCGUACAUUAAAUUUUGAUGACUAAAUAGAUUGAAGAAUGAAGAACAAGAGAGAUGUAUAUUACUUGCAAGUCAAGCUAAUUUGUUGUUAUUUAUAGCUGUUGAACAUAUUUUGGUUUAGGAAGGUGUUUUAUUUGCUUGCACAGCAAGUAUACAAAUGAAUUGCCGUUAAAUUUAGGUUAUAUUUGACGCCAAUGUAUGGUUUUAUAGCCGUUGCGGUUGAAACUGAAGUUCUAAUUUAGCGGCCAUGUGAAUUCUAUCAAGUCCUAAUUUUGUAUUGCCCGAAAUUUUGUGCAAACGUCCAUGUCUAAACAUGAUUUAGUGUUUCAGUAUUAUUUUUUGUGUGAACUUAAGAGUUUUUCCCCAAUUUAGAACUAUGCCUCUUAUUUGAAGCAGUGUUUCAAGUUAGGUUUUAAAUACAUUAUAUCAAAAUAGAUCUUGGUAAACUUUUAAUAAGAAUAUCAGAAAAAUUGAUUUAAUUUUAAAAAACUACCAAAAAUGGAGCAUUAAUGUAUACGUGCUGUGAGCAUUAAUUUAAAAUUAAUUAUUUUUUAUUAAGACAGUAACUCAAAUCUUUUCCCCCAUUAACGUGAGUGAGUUUCAAAUUUUAGACUUUUUAUUUCUACACAAAUAAUUUUAUCAACUGAAAUAAUUGGCAUCCACUCAAUCCAAAAUUAAAUAUAUUGUUUUAAAUGAAUCCAUAUUGUAUGUUGACGUGUUAUUUAAAAAAAUACAUCUAGAGUAGACGUGUCAUUGGAGAAAAAUAAUUGAUUUAUUUGUUAUUUGUCAAACGAGUGCAUAUCAUAUGUUAACGUAUUAUUAGGCAAAAAUAUAUUUAAAGUAUACGUGUUGUUAGCUAGAAAAAAAUAAUUGGAUAUUUGUUUCCUAUUAUUAAUCAAAUGAGUCCAGUCCACGCGUCAAUAGAUUCAGAACUCUCAUAAACAGGCUGUUCGCUUUUCAUUUUUUAUAUUUUCUAAAGUGUGUUGUUAUUUAUUAAAUAUGCCUUGACAAUAAGAACCAAAUUUAUUUAAAAUACAGAUAAUUUAGUGAAAAAGAUGUAAAAUGUCUUCCCUCUUAUUGAGAGCUAGGUCCUAGGAUGAUGCAAAUACUGUAAACCCAAAAAACAAAAAAUUAUUUUAAAAAAAAAAAACCCAAACCAGGAAAAGUUUUGGGUACCCUACCUAGGAGCAUUGGUCAUUUUAAAUUGAUUAGCUUCACAGCCCAUGAACAUUUCAACCAAUUGCAGUAACAUUCAUACAUACGUAACAAAUAAUAAAUAAAAAAGAUUGAUUGUUACUAAAUUUAUAAUGGAAAAUUUAAUGAUGUGCCAACACAGUACACUUGUAGAAAACAACGUCUGGGAUGUGAAUACGUAAUUAUCUACCACAUAGUCAUUUAGGUUAGCCGUGAAGCUAAGGUCUAGCUCUAGUGACUUUCCUAAGGAUCAGGUACUGAUUCGAGAUUUAAUGGGUAUCUGAGUUAAUAUUAAAAAAAAUAUUCUUAUAAAAAAAAUGUUAGUCGUCCCGUGUGUUUUUUAUUUUUCUUUAUUUUGAAAGGUUUCUUUUGUUAAAUUAAUUCGUUGGGCAAAAUUUUUAUCAUCACUACAAUAUAGAUAUCAAAUUUUCGCUUAUUUAAAAUUUCUAAGUUAAGCAACUAGUAAAGAUUAGGAUUAAAUUAGAAAUUUUAUAUAAAUUGCAUAUAGAAAUAAUUGUGAUAUUUCUGAUAUUAAUCACGAGGUAUCCUGGGGAGGGUCCCAACUGUGGGAGGCACCUUUAAGCCCGUACCACAACCCAGACUAGAAGUCCCCGCUCGAACCGGGAGGCACAAGUUCUCCCAACAAAGGCGACUUCCCUGCGACUCGAACUGGGGAGUAAACCCAGUCAAGCCAUUUAAGGGGACUCCAUUGCCAGUGGAGCCAACACUUUGUUGGUAAAAGAAUAAUUAUAAAAAAUUAUAUUACUUUUAAAUCAAGAAGAAAUUUGAAUGAUUGACCAAUUAAAUUUUCAUUAAUUAGUUUUUGUAAUUUAGAUCUCUUGACCAUUUUUGUUACAGCGACAUCUGUGGUCAACAAUAGUCAAGAGAUUUUAUCAAAAAAUAAAAAGAAUCUAAUUAAUUAAUUAUUUUAAAAUUUUUCUCAUUUAAUUUUUUUUUUAAAAAUAAUGUGAUUUUAAAAAAAAAUAAUUUUAUAAGAUGGGGUGGUUACACAAAGUCUGUGAUUUGAAGGAAGAAAAAUAGUGGGAAAAAUAGUUGUGGGAAGAAUUUGGUUUUCUCUAUUUUUGUUACAAAUAGAGCAGCGAAUUUGACUUUGAUAUCAUUGAGCAUAUUUAUAGAUGUGGAGAUUACAAUUUUUCAAAAUUAAAUACACAAAUUAUAGAAGGAUAUCACCAACCGUUCCAUUGCCAUUUGGUGCGAAUCAUUUGAUAAUCUCAACAAUUUCAGUCUUUUGGGGAGCACCUGAUAAUCUUCCACCUCAGAUCUCAACCUUUUGCUGGGAUCUUGGGCGUAUAUUAAAUGGGCUCCACAUUUUUUCACAUCAACAACCUCUACGCAUUGGCCCAUGAUAUCCCGAACAGAGAAUUAGAUACAGACCUCGUUAUUGGAACCACCGAAACUAUAUAAUAUGAAGACCAAGAGAAAUCGUACCCCAAAAGUACGUGAUCUGACAGGAUAGAAGAAUCGUCUUUGAAAUCAUCCUCCCAUAGAUUAGAAGGGAAACAAAUUGUAACAUCCCCAUCACCGUCUUUGGUUUUGAGGUUGCAUUCAACAUAUAAUUCCAGAGUGUAGCCAUGAUACUCUGGAACAAUAGCGCAUAGAGCAAAGCCAACAAAGUUUUUGUUGAACCAACCUGGCGGCAGCUCAAGGGUUACGGAAGAUCCCAUACUUUGAAAGCUAAGCCACUCUGGAAUUUCAUGUCCAGGGAAACAGACACAACCACUCUUAUGAUGACGCUCCUGCACCACAAAAACCAUCAUUUUGUUUAAUAUUAAAUUUAACUUGGGGGAAAAAAGUGAUAAUAACUUAUAAACAUGCAUAUAUAUGCUCCUAUGUUGAGAGUUAACGGAUCUUGUUCUUUCCACCAUGUUGCCAUAACCUGAAUUUUCUUUAGAGCUUCUUCAACAAUUUCUCCGACCUCAUUCCAGUUCAAUUUGAACAAUUGCUAAAGUUAAAUAUGUCCCAAUGCUUUGACGAACGUGUGAGCAAUGUCGAUGAAUUUGAUAAUGUUUUCAGUGAUGUGCAGUGACGGGCAUGUAUGCUGCUACCGCAUGGAAGUUCUGGUAAGGAUUGAAGCCUCUUACAAUUUUGUAGUCUGAGGUCCGACAACUUAGAUAGCUGUUUCAUGCUUGAAGGUAUUUUCUCAAAAUCGUUUUCUGCUAGAUUCAAAUAUUCCAGAGAUUCUAAAUUUCCAAUUUCCUCCGGCAAUUUCUCAAGUUUUAAGCAACCAGAGAGAUUAAGCCUCCGAAGUGAUUUUAAAUUACAGAGGCGGCUCGAGACACUCUUAAGCCCUGAACAGUUUGUAAGGUCCAAAUCAACAAGUCUGGACAGAUUCCCAAUCGAUGAAGGCAGUUCUUCAAUUGCAGUUUCCUUUAGAUCUAAGUCUUCUAUAUUACAAGAGAUCUCAGGAAACCUCUUCAAAUUUGAGCACCCUCCAAGAUAUAGCUCUUUAAGGGAAUCCAAAUUAAUUCCAGUUGGAAGACUCUUCAGACUAGUGCAAAGACCUAGAUUAAGGAUAACAAGCUUGUUGAGAUGUUGAAUAGACGAGUGAAUCUCAAACAAGCUUGUACAGCCUUCUAAAUUCAACUGCUCAAGAUUUAAGGCGAGGGAGAGGUCUGGGAUUUCGAAUAGCUGCUUGGAAUAGCUGAGAUUUAGACGCUUCAACACAGCAAGGUUCUGAAAAGAAAAAAAAAAAAAAAAAAGCAACACUAGUAAUUAGUAUCCAUCACAUUUAAAUUUGGUAUUGAAAGAUUUUCAUAUAAAUAUUUAAGAUAUACCUGGACACCAUUCUAGAGCCGUUCAAUAUUGCUAUGAGGCAUCUCAAGUAAAACAAGAUGUUCUGGAAAAUUCUUUGAAGGCAAUGAUUUCAAAGGGUAUCCAUCCCAAUGAAAAUACCUUAAUUUGCUGAAAAGAGAUUCCACUCAUCUUGAAUGAAGCACCUUACAUUUGUUCUCUCCAGGAAUUAAGUUAUAGAAUUUCAAGAAUCUCAAUCUACGCAUCUUUCUGAAAGUCCUAGGAUUCAAACAUAUCUCUUUAAUUUUAGACAUAUCCAAGGAGAUGCCCUCAAUUUCCUCACUCCCCUAAAAAGAGAAAAGAAAAUAAUGUGUAAGGAAGUACUAGAAUCCUAGAAUAUAUCUAUACAGUUCAUUAAGUUUUUUUUGUUUCAUUUUUCCCACAUUUUUUGUUAAGUUCAAGUUUCAAGUUACAUUUCCCAAAUUUCUUCAACUCUUAAAAUAUGAUGCAUAAGUUGGGACAUUUAAAGAAAAGCUUAGGAGUUAGGACAUAAAAUGAAAUCUCGGAAACAUAAACAAAAAUUUUGCUGCGUUGUUCAAUUGUUAUGACACAACGGCUUUACUCUAGAAUAACAUGUACAUUAUAAAUUUGAGAUUGACUAAUUCAUGAAAAAUUUAAACUAAGUCAAGAAAAAUUUAUCCUAUUCUAUGUUUUGUUCAUACACAAUUUUGAAAUAUACUUAUCCUGGGCCCACGUAAUAAUUCUAUAAACUUAAGAAAAUUUAUCUCAUGAUUCCCAAAGGAUUAAUUUAUUGAGAUCAAUUUUAUAACUCAAGUAUAUUUACUAAUUUAUCAAUGUUUAUAUUAUAUCAAUAUGUAGUGUUUAUAAUAAUAUUUUAUAUUAUAAUUAAAAAAUAUAAAUAGCUAAUAAUUCAAAAAAAUAAAAUUAUUAAUUUGAAAUUAUUAUUAUUAAUUUAAGUAUUACUAUAAAUAUUACAAUUUAAUUUGAAAUAAAUAACUAAUAAUUUAAAAAUUAUUGAUAGAUUAUAAAAUAAAAUAUUCAACAAAUUUCACUAAUUUACGUUUUAUUUAUUUUUAUAAAUCGUAACAUUACCUAUAUAAUCUAUACAAUGUAACACAUCAAUCUACCACUAGUUUUAUGUAUUUUCCUUAUUUUGUACAAAAGAGUUUUCUAUAUAUCAUAAUAUGUUUGUGGGGGCAUUAAGAAAUAAAAUUAUCUAUCUAACAAAGUACUAAACUAAUUCUUCCAUAACCAAAAUAGAAAUGGAAAUUUAAUGCUUUGAACUCACAGUAUUUUCGUUCAAAACUUGAUAGAUGUCUUCAGGAUGCCACAAUCGACUGCGUUUUCCCGGAUCUUUAAUGGACUCUUGCCUCACAAUUUCCCCACCCAUUUCUUGUAGCAAAUCAUGCAUUGUUAUCUUGUUGUUUGAUAUAGUCACAAGGGACUUCCCAACAAGACGACUUAUUCCUAUCUUUGCUGAAAAGCGACAGGCAUCUAGGAAAUUCAUAACAAGAUAUUGAUCAUUUCCCUUGAAGAAACAUGCAGUAUCUAGAAAGAUAUUUUGCUCUUCAUCAUCAAGGCCAUCAUAACUCACUUUUAACACUUUUUGGAUAUCCAUGUGAGGCAUUCUUUUCAGCUUGUUCACUGCACUUUCCCACUCUUCUUCACUCAUUCCUUUUAGAUAGCUCCCCAAAACUUGAAGAGCUAAUGGAACACCGUUUGCAUAUUUUAUCACUAUAUUUGACAACUCCAAAAAACCUGCAGCAGGAUGGUUUUGCCCAAAGGCAUUUCGACUGAAAAGCGUAAGAGAAUCAUUGUAUGACAAUUCCUUAACCUCAAAUACAUGACCCACUCGACUCCCACGAUGGUUCUUGAGCAAUUGUACAUCUCUCGUUGUUAUGAUAACUCGACUCCCAGGCACGAAGCCAUCAAGACGUCCAAUUAAUAAAUCUAUUUGUUUUAAAUCAGUAAGAUCAUAAAAAACAAUCAGAACCUUCAUUCGGCUGAGCCUUCUUCUUUCAAAGUUGAGGUGGAUAUUGGCUAAUCCGCCUACUUUUUCUGACUCGUCUCUAAUAUUUUGCAUAAAAUAAGAACCUUCAAAAUGACUAGAGAUGUUACUGUAAAUAGCACUGGCAAUCGUGGUCUUGCCUAUACCACCAAUGCCCCAAAUACCUACAGUGUUAAAUUCAGUUGACCCACUCAAUAAUUGUGAUUCAAUUUCCUUGAUGAUUGAUUCUACUCCCACCAGCUGGUCUUUGUUAUCACUUGGAAAUAAAUCACUCAGUUUCUUUGAAAUGUCAUUCACAUUUCCCUCUAUAAGUACAGAUUCAGACCUAACAAGUAAGAAAAAUAGCAGUAAGAUUGAAUGUAGAUAAAAAAUUCAUCAAUAAAGAUGAACAUUGUGUUUAUAAUUCCAAUUGGUAACAAUUCCGAGGUUUCACACUGAAACUUGAUCAAAGAAAAGAAAACAAUAGAAAUUAAUUUUACAAGAUAGUGACCAUCGCCUAAUGUUAAAAAUAUAAUUUUAUUAUGUAUAAUAGUUUAUAAACUUUUUGAUCUGUUUUAUCAUUCACUAUUUAUUUAAAAUAGUAUCCCAAAAUAUAAGCAUAUUUUGUUUGGCCUCUUGUUAUGGAAGUACGUAGGGAUGUCAAAAAUACCCAUCCAGCCUAAACUCGGGCAAUACCCGGCCUGGGAAUGAGGCCAAACUGGUCCCGGGCAUUACUUGAUAAGCUCGUGGUUCGGUCCGGAGCCCAAAUUUUAUAAAAUAUAUAUUAUUUUAAAUAAUUAUAUUUAUUUGGCUCAACUACUACAUAUAUUUAAAAUUUUAAAUAUUUGAAUUUCAUAUUUUCAUUCCCAAUUUCACAAAAAAUAAAAAAUAAAAAAAUGUACAUAUAAAUAAUACAAAAUAUAAAAUCCAGGCUUUUAAGUCCAGAUAAAAAAGCCCCAGCCGAGUGUCCAAAAAACAUGUUUGCGCCAGAUCCGAGCAUUGCCAUACUCGAUCGGCCCCUAAGUUUUUCCAUUCCUAGAAGCAAGAGGUUAAGAGUUUCCUCCGUCUCUUUUAGGGAUAACUUGGAUCUCAUGAAACAUCAGACAUAUUAUUAGAAGAGAUUCCAGCUAUUUACAUCAAAUAUUAAGUAUUAAUUAACGUUAGGUAUUCCAAUAGUUGAGCCAUAGUUUAAAUCAAAAUAAUGUGAUAUUUACUAUCUAAUAGAUGAAUGACACAUAACGGUUGGACUCAAGUUAUGACUCAACUAUUGUGAUCCCAAACUUUAUUGUCAAUUGUGUAUUGGUGCUUUCAAAAUCUUACUAUGUACAAUUCCUUCCCCAUUGUGAUUAUUUACACGAGAUGGUAGAAAAUUAUGUGAAAAGAGUUAUCUAAUGCCAUGAGAAUCAAAGCCGGAUAGAUUGGCUGCAUCCCUCAUAGCAAUCCUCCAUGUUUACAGCAUAUCUAUCUUCUCCUUAAAUCGUUCUUCAAGCUUCGAAAAUGAAUCCCAAAAGUUCCUGUUUGGUUUCUUACAUCUGAUGGAUCAACGAGGUAGAAAACUGGGACUACAAUCUGCCCAUACUUGUUCUUGCUUUCGAGGAUCUUCACAAGUUCAUUCAAGCACCAUCUGGAAGAAGCAUACCCUUCCGAGAAAAUGACAAUCGAAAUCUUUGAUCCUUCAAUUGCACUCGAAAGUGAAGGAGAAAUUUCAUUUCCUCUAUUAAGUUUGUCAUCGAUGAAAGUUUCAAUCUUUUCCCGGCACAAAGCUGCAUUGAGAUGGCUGACAAAGUUGUGGCGAACAUCCUUGCCUCUGAAACUAAGGAAAACAUCGUGCUUUGGAUGAGGAAUCAUAUUGAUCGAUGAUGAAGAAGAAGCCAUCGGUCACUCCUGGUGAUGAGAAAUCUUGAUCAGGAAAUUUAGAAUGCGGAAAACAUUAAAUUAGAAGACUGCAUCAGAUAAAGCAUUAGGAGCGCAUAGAAAACUUUAUCUCAAUUCAACCUUCUACGAACUUUCACGGUAACUAGGAAACUUUAGCUCAAUUCAACACUUUCAUUCUAGGAACUUUCAUGGUAGCUUAACUCCCAUGCUAACUAGAAAACUUUAGCUCAAUUCAACCUUCUAGGAACUUUCAUCCUAGGAAAGAGACGAUGAAUUAGGAGAUUUUGGAUUUCAAGCACCAACCCCCUCCCCAUUCAAAAGGCCUUCCAUUAUAAGCUCAUUAAACACAUUUUUCCCAAAUAAUGUGGGAAAUCAUAAUUUUUGAAUUAAACUACAAGACUGCCUCUCUUUAAUCAUAAAUAGGGGAAAUGGUACGGGUUUAAUAAUUCUAGUCUGGGUUGUGGUACGGGCUUAAAGGUGCCUCCCACAGUUGGGACCCUCCCCAGGAUACCUCGUGAUUGAUAUAAAAAUAAAAAAUAAACAGGGGAAAUGGGAGGAUGAAUGUUGCACACGAUCAAUUUUGAUACAUUAAAAUUGUGAGUUUUAACACUUUAGAUAUAUUUUAUGAAGUCUUAAUUUUACUACUGAUUGAUUAAUUUGGAUAAUUGGAUAUUACUGACAGUUUACUAUUGAUUAAUGUUAGUUAAGUUAUGAUUAUACUUCAACUGUUCAAGAUUGAUUACAUUGGUGUACACAAAUUUAGAUUUACUUCUAGCUCAACAACUCUCAUUGUUAGUCAAAUACCCCCUUCCUAGCAAAUUCAUGUUUUUUUAGCACAAAUUUCAUAGGAUUCUUCGUAGGAUACUCCCAAGGACCAACGGAUGUCUCAAUCCAAACUCCAUAACAUUCGGUCAAUCACUAAUUUUUGUCCUUUGACAAAAUGAUUUAAUUUUGGUGUUUUAGAAUUAUUGUGUUAUACUACUUUUGACUAAAAUUGUGGAUCAUUGCUGUGAGAUGGCGAGUGUCAUCAUUUCAUGACUAUGAUUGCUUUGUUGAAAAUUUGAAAUAAUACAUUUGAUUCAAUCUUCCUCUUACUUUCAGAACAGAAUUUGAUCUUGAUCCUUAGCGGAUGUAGGCACCUCUCUGGAGUUGACCCGCUUAAUAAAUGGAAAAAAUAAAAUGGAGUGACAAGUGUCUUUGCUUGAAAUCUAUGGUGAAGAGACAUAAAAAAGGCACAAAGGAUUGCAGAACAAAUUAUUCUCAGUCGGGGAAAGGAAUUACUUAUUAACGCCAUUGCUCAAGUAAUUCCUACAUAUGCUUUGAGCAUCUUUAAGAUUCCUUGGGGACUAUGAAUACUUCAGACAAAGUCAAUUUUAUCUAACUUGAUUUAAAGUGAGUUAAUACAUAAAGAAAAAAGGGACAUUUUCAAGUUCAAGAAAUGCAAAUAAACUGUGCGAAUCCACUUAUUCCAUUAGGAGUUUUCAUUUCAGUUUUUUUACGUGAGAAUUUUCAAUAAAAGCUUCAUGGAAAGCAGUGACAAGUAUCUUUCCUUGACAUCUAUGGUGAGGAGACAUAACAAAGGCACAAAGUUAAAGGAUUGCAGAACAAAUUAUUCUCAGUUGGGGGAAGGGAAGUACUUAUUAACGCCAUUGCUCAAGCAAUUCCUACAUAUGCUAUGGGCAUCUUUAAGAUUCCUUGGGGACUAUGAGAAAAUAUGCAAAAGUUGCUAUGGGCAUUCCGAUGGGGUGAGAAGGAAACGGGCAAAGGAAUUAUGUGGGCUUUGUGGAAAAAGAAUCGAGGCCAAGGAUAUUGAGAUCUUGUCUACUUCAACCAAGUUUUGCAUGCAAAACAAUGAUAAGAGUAUCCUAAUUCUUUAGUGGCAAAGGUGAUGAAAUUUCAAGACUGUAUGGAAGACAGAUAUAAAUGAUUGUGUUAAUGUGGGUUGUGUUGAACCAAGCUAUAUUUAAUUAUCGAACGUUGACAAGGGCAUAUUCUUUUCAGGAUCCCUUCUGAACAGUAAACCAGGAGCAUAUUUCUAGAAAACAUGGGACUGAAAGAAGACAUGACCCCUACUCAGGGCUGGUUGAAAAUAUACUAGUACUAGUAGAUAGUGAUAUGGAAUACACGAUAGCAAAUAUACUAGUACCAGUACCAGUGCCUCAAAACUUGUGCCAUUUUGCCACAGCCAGUGAGAACAGGAUUAGGGUCAUGAAACAUACUCCCCAGUGCAAAAACUGUUAUUCGGCUCCAUAUAGAUGGUCAAUAAGAUAAGGGCGGCGACUGCUACCGUCGGAAUAAAUACACAAACCAUGAACUGGAGAGAAGAGAAUUGUAAAGAGAGAGCAAAUUACAAUAUAAUCAUUCUUAGGUGUGAGCUCGCUUUUUUUUUAAAAUGUUUCUGUAAACUGAAUUUGUAAUUAUGAGGAAUGUUUAGCAACAUUAUCUUAGCUCUGGUUCAUGUCAGGUACCAUACAUUAACCUAUGCAGAUCAUCAUCAGCAUAAAAAAUUUAUAAAAAGGAAAGAAAGAAACUUAACCGUAUGAUUUUCUUUAAUUAAAUUUUAUUUUGUUUUCCUUGGAAAUUUUUUAAGUUUUGAGAAGCUGAAUUCACAGUUUGUCUUGCAUUUUAAUGGUGCAGGCUUGCUGUCGUUUUACCCAAAAUUCAUGCAUGAAAGGAGAUAACUGUUCGUUAGAUCAUGACCUCUUCAAAUACCCUUUGGGGGAUUCCAGUGGUAAAAAAUUAGCUAAACUUUUUCUGAAUCAUGAAAAAUGGUGCCAAAUCAUCACCUAUUAAACAAUUUUUGGUUUGCAUGCAAAAUCUAGCUUCUCUUCCUGGAUGAAGAUGGAAAUUCGGCAACCUAAAGAUUCUUAAAUGAUAUAUGAAAUAAGAUUAAGAGAUCAAAUGGUCAGGAAAGUACUCACCAGGAUAGGAAAGUACUCACCAGGAUUGGCUACAAUGUCAAGAUUGGGUGUCUUGAUAUUCAAAGUUUGAAUAUCAAAAUCAAACUUCUAGAUAUUCAAACUUUGAAUAUCAAAUUCAAAAUUCUAGAUAUUCAAAGUUUGAUAUUCAAACUUUGAAUUUUGAAAUUUUGAACAAUAAUAAAUAAUUAAAAAAAAAUACGUGAAUAGUAGCUAAGAUUUUGGCUAUAAAUAGAGGGACUCAUUCCCUUAUUUGCUAAUCCAAUUUUUGAGAAGAGUUUUCUUGUAUUUAGAGAAAGUUUAGAGAGCUUGAAAUUACAAGCUCUUGUUUUAGUGUUUUGAGAGUUUGGGUGUAUUGGGAUUUUGGGAAGUGAGCUAAAAUACUACAAUACUUGUAACUCAUUUUCACUAGUAAAAUAUUUCCUUCUGUCUUCGCCCGUGGACGUAGGCUAAAAGCUGAACCACGUAAUUUCUGUUGUCCUCUUUUUGUGCUUGUUCUUUAUUUUCUUCCAAUUUUACUUUAGCUGCGUGUCUGCUUCACCCACCAAUUUCGUAAUAGUGGUAUCAGAGCUAUUGGUUGUAUUUUUGGAGUCGGGUACUAUUCACGUAAUGGUACUAUUCACAUAUAUGGUACUGUUCACGUAUACGGUACUGUUCACGUGAAACGGUGGGAGCGAUCCAAGAAUUUUGCGGUGCAAAGCAGGGAAUAGUGGUGUGAGUAAAACAACUGUGUGGUUUUGUACAUGUCUACAAAAGUUCUGUCACAAAGGCGAUAAGAGCUUAAGGAGUCUGGGUUUUAAGUGGGACCAUUGUGACCCCUCCAGUCUUUCCUGGGAACUUUCCUGGUGUGCAUUCUCACACAUACUCACAACUAUUCAAGGUGGUACACUAGCUUGUGUGUGGUAUUUAUCAACAAAAUGGCGGCAAAGUAUGAAAUUGAGAAGUUUAACGGAAAUAAUUUUUCGUUGUGAAAAAUGAAGAUGAAAGCUGUAUUGAGGAAAAAUAAUUGCUUGGCAGCAAUUGGAGAAAAGCCCAUGGAGAUAACUGAUGACAAGUGGAACGAGGUAGACGGCAACGCCAUUUCUGAUCUACACUUGGCACUUACAGACGAAGUAUUAUCCAGUGUGGCAGAGAAAAACAUAGCGAAGGAAAUUUGGGAUAUUCUCACAAAAUUGUAUGAGGCCAAGUCACUACACAACAAAAUUUUCUUGAAGAGGAAACUUUAUACUCUUCGAAUGGCGGAAUCUACAAUGGUGACCGACCACAUCAACACCUUGAAGACUCUAUUUUCACAACUCACAACGUUGGGUCAUAAUAUAGAGGAAAAUGAACGUGCAGAGCUUCUACUUCAAAGUCUACCAGAUUCGUAUGAUCAACUCAUCAUUAACCUGACGAACAACAAUCCAGCGGACAGUUUAGUUUUCGACGAUGUUGCAGCCUCCGUAUUAAAUGAGGAGAGCAGGCGGAAAAAUAAGGAAAACAGACAAGCAAGUUCGCAGCAAGCGGAGGCGCUAUCGGUGACGAGAGGGAGAUCAACAGAACGUGGCCCCAGUGGGAGUCACAAUAAUGGUAGAUCAAAAUCCAGAAGUAAGAAGAUGUUAAAUACUACAACUGUGGCAAGAAAGGGCACGUCAAGAAAGAGUGUUGGAGUAACCAGAAGAGAAAAGAGGGCAAAGAACCUGAGUCAUCAAAUGCUCAGGGGUGUGUAGCAAGUACCUCGGAUGAUGGAGAAAUUCUCUACAGCGAAGCAACAACUGUUUCAGAAGGCAGAAAAUGACUUUAUGAUGUCUGGCUUAUAGACUCAGGAGCUACCUGGCACAUGACCUCUCGGAGAGAAUGGUUCCACACAUAUGAACCUAUCUCAGGAGGAUCUGUAUAUAUGGGUAAUGAUCAUGCCUUGGAGAUCGCUGGUAUUGGUACUAUCAAAAUAAAAAUAUUUGAUGGUACAAUUCGCACAAUUGGGGAGGUACGCCAUGUCAACGGCCUGAAGAAAAAUCUAUUUUCUUUGGGACAAAUGGAUAGUCAUGGGUACAAAACUCAUGUGGAGAAUAGAAUUAUGAAAAUCGUUAAAGGCGCGCUUGUAUUGAUGAAAGCAGAAAAGAUCGGUGCUAAUUUAUUCAUGCUUAAAGGAGAAACACUACAUGAGGCUGAUGCGUGUGUCGCGUCAAAUGGAGAAGAAUCAACAAUGAUGUGGCACCUCAAACUUGGUCACAUGUCGGAACAAGGUUUGAAAAUUCUCUCUGAGAGAAAAUUGCUUCCGGGGCUCAAAUCGGUAAGUUUACCAUUUUGCGAGCAUUGUGUUACAAGUAAGCAGCAUAGAUUAAAGUUCAGUAGAUCUAUUGCUAGAAGUAAAUGCAUUCUAGACUUGAUUUAUUCUGAUGUUUGGGAAUCACCGGAUAUAUCCAUGGGAGGUGCAAAGUACAUGGUGACUUUCAUUGAUGAUUAUUCCAGAAGAUGUUGGGUGUAUCCAAUUAAGAAAAAGUCAGAUGUAUUUUCAGUGUUCAAAUAAUACAAAGCGCGGGUGGAACUUGAAUCUGGUAAAAAGAUCAAGUGCUUGAGGACAGAUAAUGGUGGAGAGUAUACAGAUGGUGAGUUUCUUGCUUUCUGUAAGCAAGAAGGUAUUCAGAGGCAGUUCACGGUGGCAUACCCUCCUCAACAAAAUGGAGUGGCAGAGCGGAUGAACAGGACUCUUACAGAAAGAAUAAGAGCUAUGUUGAGGACUGCUGGUCUACCCAAUUCAUUCUGGGCAGAAGCAGCCAAAACUGCCUGUUAUAUAGUAAAUCGAUCGCCAUCUACAGCUAUUGGGCUGAAGACAGCGAUGGAGAUGUGGACUGGAAAGCCAGCUGAUUAUUCCUACCUACAUGCAUUUAGAUGUCCUGUGUACGUGAUGUAUAAUGCCCAAGAAAGAACAAAGCUGGAUCCAAAAUCUAGAAGAUGUAUCUUCUUGGGAUAUGCUGAUGGAGUAAAGGGGUAUCGUCUGUGGGACCCCACUGCCCACAAGAUCGUCAUCAGCAGAGAUGUUAUCUUUAUAAAAGAUCAACUACAAAGGAGAGAUGAAGAUGAUAGCAGUGUAAAAGAAAAGUCAGAGACUAUACCGGUAUAUGUGGAAAAUAAUCUAGAAGAUUCAGAUUCUUCUGAAGCAGCACCAGAGCACGAAGAAUAAGAACCAGUCGAGUCCGAGGCUCCAGAAGUUCAUCGGUCAACUCGUGAGAGACGACCGCCAACGUGGCACUCGGAGUAUGUCACAGAAAUCAAUGUUGCGUACUGUCUUCUAACAGAGGAUGGAGAGCCUUCAAUUUUCCAUGAAGCUUUAAACAACUCAGAUGUUGCUUUGUGGAUGACAGCAAUGUAGGAAGAAAUUGAAGCUCUACACAAGAACAAGACAUGGGAACUUGUACCACUACUACGUGGUAGAAAAGCCAUUGGAAACAAAUGGGUCUACAAGAUCAAACGUGAUGGUAAUGAUCAAGUGGGACGGUAUCGUGCAAGACUGGUGGUGAAAGGAUAUGCUCAGAAAGAAGGUAUUGACUUCAACGAUAUAUUUUCUCCGGUGGUUCGACUCACAACAGUCAUAAUAGUCUUGGCAAUGUGUGCUACAUUUGACCUACAUCUAGAGCAGUUAGAUGUUAAAACUGCAUUUCUUCAUGGAGAACUUGAAGAAGAAAUUUAUAUGCUCCAACCAAAAGGUUUUGCAGAAACAGGAAAGGAAAACUUGGUUUGCAAGUUGAACAAAUCUCUUUACGGUCUCAAACAGGCGCCGAGGUGUUGGUAUAAGAGAUUUGAUUCCUUCAUCAUGAGCCUUGGAUAUAACAGACUCAGUUCAGACCAUUGUGCAUAUUACAAGAGGUUUGAAGAAAAUGAUUUCAUCAUUUUGCUGUUGUAUGUGGAUGACAUGUUGGUAGCAGGUCCCAACAAAGAUCGAAUCCAAGAAUUGAAGGCACAGUUGGCUAGGGAGUUUGAAAUGAAGGACUUGGGACCAGCAAACAAGAUUUUAGGGAUACAAAUUCACCGAGACAGAAAUAACAUGAAGAUUUGGCUUUCACAGAAGAAUUACUUGAAGAAAAUCUUGCGGCGCUUCAACAUGCAAGAUUGUAAGUCAAUUUCUACCCCACUUCCUGUUAAUUUCAAAUUAUCCUCAAGUAUAUGUCCUAGCAAUGAAGCAGAGAGGAAGGAGAUGUCUCGAGUACCGUAUGCAUCAGCAGUGGGAAGUUUGAUGUUCGCUAUGAUAUGUACUAGACCGGACAUUGCACAAGCAGUGGGAGCAGUCAGUCGAUACAUGGCGAAUCCUGGUGGAGAGCAUUGGAUAACUGUGAAGAGGAUUCUGAGAUACAUCAGAGGAACCUCAGAUUUUGCAUUAUGUUAUGGAGGAUUAGAGUUUACUGUCAGGGGCUAUGUGGAUUCAGAUUUUGCAGGAGACCUUGAUAAAAGGAAAUCCACUACUGGUUAUGUGUUUACACUUGCGGGAGCAGUUGUAAGCUGGGUUUCGAAACUGCAGACCGUUGUGGCUUUAUCUACAACAGAAGCAGAAUACAUGGCAGCUACACAAGCUUGCAAGGAAGCUAUUUGGAUACAAAGAUUAUUGGAGGAACUCGGGCACAAACAAGAGAAAAUUUAUGUGUUUUGUGACAGUCAGAGUGCCUUGCACAUUGCAAGGAAUCCAGCCUUUCAUUCCAGGACAAAGCACAUAGGAGUUCAGUAUCACUUCGUUCGAGAAGUAGUGGAAGACGGAAGUGUGGAUUUGCAGAAAAUCCAUACCAAGGAGAACCUAGCAGAUGUGAUGACCAAGCCGAUCAAUGCUGACAAGUUUAUCUGGAGUAGAUCCUCUUGUGGCCUAGCAGAAACGUAGGCAACAUAAUUCUGGUGAAGCAGAAAGGAUGGUGUGGAGAUUGAUUGGUUCUCAAUCAAAUCUCCAAGUGGGAGAAUGUCAAGAUUGGGUGUCUUCAUAUUCAAAGUUUGAAUAUCAAAAUCAAACUUCUAGAUAUUCAAACUUUGAAUAUCAAAUUCAAAAUUCUAGAUAUUCAAAGUUUGAUAUUCAAACUUUGAAUUUUGAAAAUUUGAACAAUAAUAAAUAAUUAAAAAAAAAUACGUGAAUAGUAGCCAAGAUUUUGGCUAUAAAUAGAGGGACUCAUUCCCUCAUUUGCUAAUCCAAUUUUUUUGAAGAGUUUUCUUGUAUUUAGAGAAAGUUUAGAGAGCUUGAAAUUAUAAGCUCUUGUUUUAGUGUUUUGAGAGUUUGGGUGUAUUGGGAUUUUGAGAAGUGAGCUAAAAUAUUACAAUACUUGUAACUCAUUUUCACUAGUAAAAUAUUUCCUUCUGUCUUCGCCCGUGGACGUAGGCUAAAAGCCGAACCACGUAAUUGAUGUUGUCCUCUUUUUGUGCUUGUUCUUUAUUUUCUUCCAAUUUUACUUUAGCUGCGUGUCUGCUUCACCCACUAAUUUCCUAACAUACAAGGGGCCAGAUUGUUCAUUGUACGAUUCAUAAUUGUUGUACAGGCUUCUUUGUAAUUCAUGAUCAUCAACAAAGGAUAUGUAUAUGCAUACAUGUGAUGAAGAGAGAAGAUUAAAUAUAGUUUAGCUGUGUAUAUAAUGGGAAGUGCGGAUAAGUGAUUAAUGCACAUGGAAUGCCAGAGGAAACUUCAUGAUUAGAAGAGCAGGUUUCAUUUUGUCCCUCUUAGCUCUUGUUCAUCUGGAUGGACGAUAUUUUAGAGGACAUUAGCUAUAUGCUUUGAUUUCUUUUCAAUGAACACUUUAAAAUGAGAAACACAAUGGGGUAAAUUUAACAAUAUUUAGGCAAUCAACAGAGCUUUAUUUUUUAUUUUAUUGACUUGCUAUAAGAAACCACACAUUGCUCUCGAUAAAUGCAACUUGUAAGAAAACUUUGUAAAUGAUUAACAGCAACAAUAUGAAUAUUAUGAUCCAAUUUUAUCAUCGGGAAAAUGAGAUAUUUUUGGUGGUCUAAUCACAUUUUUAAACUCUCGUGCUUUACAAAGCCCUUUGAUCAAUGCAGAGUUACUGAUAAGUUCAUAAUUGUAAUAGAAAAAUUAAGUAAUUCUAGAAGGCAAGUGAGACACAGCUUGGCAUUUUCAAUCACCAUUGCCCUUUCUAAGAUUCUUGCCAUCACUGAUACUUAUUGUUAGGUUAAGAACAGAGGCGAAGCUAGAAAAAAAAAUUUUGGGUGGCCUAAAAUUUUUUUCCAAGUCCCAAUGUUAUCCCAACUGAAAAGAUAAAGCUUAAUGAAAAAUUCAUUAAUAUAUAAGAAAAUACAUCAAAUCCAAGAGACAAUUUAAUUACAAUUAAGUAUUAUUUCAUUUGCGCCUUGCGAUACUUUCGAGAAUUAAAUUCAUCUAUUAUCGAAUCUGAAUCGAUAGUGUCUACAAAAUCUCUUUCAAUGUAGAUAACCAUACAAUCUGAUAAAAACUCUUUCUUCAUCUUAUUUCGAAGUUGUGUGUUGAUAAGCUUCGUAGCUAAAAAUACUCGUUCAGUCGUUGCAGUCGAAACAUGAAGAGUCAACACUAAACGAAUCAAUCUAUUUAUCAAAAAAUAAAUUUGAGACUUUCUUGUUUCAACUAAUUUUAGACAUAAUUCAGAAAGUGAAGAAAUAUAUUGAAACUCAACAAGACGAAGCACAUCAAUCUGAAAACAUUCUAACUGUCUUCUCAAAGUAAGUAUCUCAGAUGGAGUAAAAUCUGGAGGAUAAAAUCUCUCUACAAGAUUACAAAUAUCAUCAACAUUAAAUGAUUUGAAAGAAUCAACAUGAUUCAAAGCAGAGCUCAGAGUAAGAACUUCCAUCGUCUUAUUUGUAAAUCUAUUAUUUAACUCCAUCAACUAAAAAUCUAUUACAACAUUAAACAAAUCAAUUUGAUAAUAAUGCUCCACUGUAACAUAAUCUUUCUGCUUACAAGGACGCAUCGUACCGUUCAUAUGGCGAUCAUUCAUUCCAAGCACAUCAAUAUGAUGACUUUCACAAACUGAUAUCACACUCUUAAUAAAAGUAUUCCAACUAUUAUCCCUUAAGCUUUGAAUAAGUGAUUUUGUAGUUGAUAUUAAAUGUAUAGCAUUUAAAAUGUCUUGAGAUUUCAUUUGUAAUGCUUGACAAAGUAAAUCACUUAUCCCUAAAACCUUAUUCAUCAAAUGCAAGAUGAAAAACAAAAUUUAAAGGUUGACGUUGCAUUAUGCACACCUUUAGCUUCCCCUCGUAUGUCAUUAUUCGAUCCAUUGCAAAUCAUCUUUUCAAGAUACUCAUGAGCAACACCAAACAUAUUGAUCAAUCUACUGACAGAUGUAAAAUGAGAGCUCCAACGAGUUACUCCAGGUCAUUAUAAUGAACAAAUUUGAUUAGCUCAUGUCCUAGUUUCAAGCUCCCCAGAGGCUAUCAAAUCAAUAAUUUCAGCCUCCCUAAUAGAUUUCAACUCUGAAUGACGCUUAGGAGAGCAACCAAAAACAUUGACAAUGGAAUUCAAAGUUGAAAAAAAUAUCCAUACAUCAGGCACAUCCUUGGAAACUUUCACUAAUGCAAGUUGCACCCGAUGAGCAAAACAAUGUACAUAAUAUGCAUAUGGACAGUCUUCUCAAAAUAAUGCUUGCAAUUCAUUCCAUUCACCUCGCAUAUUACUAACAUCAUCAUAUCUUUGUCCUCGUAAAUCUUCAACCAAAAGAUUACAACGAGUAAGGACAUUAUAUAUUUCUUUUUUAAGAGUUGAUGCACUGGUUUCUUUCACAUUCACAACUUCGAAAAACCAUUCACGAACAAUCCAUCACAAUCAACAUAUCUCAAAAUAAUAGUCAUUUGUUCUUUUUUAUAUUCAUCUUGUGCUUCAUCAACAAGAAUACAAAAUUUUACAUCUCCAAUUUCUUCACGAAUCUUUUGCCGCACUCUAUUGCCAAUGAUAUUCAAAAGCUCUUUUUGAAUAUCGGAUGAAGUAUAUUUUGCAUUGCCGGGACCAUUUUCCCAGACAACUUCAGCAAUAUCUUUAUUCAUCCUUGCUAAAUACUUUAUCAUUUCAGUAAAAUUUCCAAGAUUAGAGGAUUUAAUGGACUCAUCAUGGCCUCUAAAGGCACAUGCUUGCUUUGCAAGCCAUUUAACAGCUUCUAUUGAGGUUUGAAGCCGCAAUUUGUUCUGUAAAAUUUGUUAUGAUGAUUGUGCAUUCAUGAAUCUAUCUAUAUGUUGAGAUGGAUUCUUUAAACCACCCCACUUUAGCAUAGCCUUAGCAUGAUGUGAAUUAAGCCCCCUUUAAUGAUGCAAAGAAGAACAUCUCUCUCUAUUAUUAAUUUUCUUCCAACUCGUAAACCCUUUAAUUGUAAACUUAGGAUAUUUUGCUUUUUUUUCGUCAAAAAGAAAACAUGCGAAACAAUAUAAAUCAUCAAUUUCUUUAGAAUACUCAAGCCAAGGAAAUUGUGCAUACCAAGUAAAAUAGAAUUGACUACGGAUUUGAACCAUAGCAUAUGCUUUCAUAAAACAAUACGAUUCUCCCGAUCUAAAUCAAGCAUGUUUUCCAAGAACAAGUUCUAUUCGUAUUGAAAUCGACGAAAUUGUUGCCCAUCAAAUGAAGGUGGAAACUCUUCUAACUUUGGUUGAUAUGGACCCAUGCUGAUAUACAUUCUCCUAAUGUCAUCUUGUUGAUUAACAGGAUAUGUCCAUAUUGGUUUAUGUAACUUCGGAUCACGUUCUAAUGAGGCAAUAUUUUCACUCUGAGCUUCAACUCUUCGAGACUUAGACGUAGGUUGCUCAUCUAGUUUAGGAUCAUCAACAUCACAUGGAACCUCACUUGACGAUUGACCACCAUCUUUUUUCUUAAAAAAUGUAAGAAGACUUUUUCUUGGCUUUAAUGAUUGAUUGUUUGACAUUAAUUAACACUUGAAAAAUAAAGAAGUAAAAACAUAAAAGCAAUUAAAAAAAUCACCGAUAAGUUUAAUUAACAAAUUAAUAAAAGCAUAGAACUGUUAGUUCAUCACAAUAACACAUUGACACUAUCCAAAAGCCAAACAAUAAGUUUAAUUGACAAAUUAACAUUAUAUUUGGAUUGAAUUUAUGGUCUCCAUUUGACCUAACAAUAAUUUAAUCUUAUACAAUCAUUUUUUUCUAAUUAAGUAUAGUUGCAACCCCUAUACAAUUCUUUUAACUGAGAUAAUUUAGUUUUUACUACCUCACAGCUUAUAAAUAUAUUGUAAGUGAUUAAACACAAAAUAAAUUUUCUUACCAAGAAGAAGACAGAGAAUUGAAGAAGCCAAGAAAAAAAGAACGAAGAAGCCAAGAGAAGAGAGAGUGCACGUUCUGGAAUCUGGAACCUUGAAAAAGGGAAUCCUUUUUUUUAAAUUUAUUCAUAACAAUGGGCCCUUUUUAUUCAAUAAAUCGAAUCCCCUUUUUCUUAGUUUAUUUAUAAAAAUUGGCCGAAUGGCAAAGUUGAAAAUAAUGGAGUAGUUACAGUUGUAAAUAAAAGUACAAAUAAUGAUAGUUUUGUAAACUAGGCCAAUGGUAUUUUUGUAAAUUUCUAAAAUUUUGGACGGGCUGUAGCCUACCCCGGCUCACACAUAGCCUCGCCCCCGGUUAAGAAUAAGGAUUGACACGCCAGAUAAAAUAUUUCUAAUUGCCGCUACCAGUUGGUUUCAAUGGUGCUGGAAUAAUCAGUAAAAUAAGGAAGAAUGCAUGAAUCAUAGACCUUGUCAGUUAGGGAUUCCUUAUUUAAGAAGUUGUGAAGCCACCACCAUGUUUUAGAACCCAACUAAAUAAAAAAUGGAAUCAAAAGUAAUAUAAGUAUUGAAGUAAGAGCAUUCAAAGGCUUGGACAUUAUGCAUAACUCUAGAACACUUGAAAAUAUGACAGAACUUUGCAGGGAAAAAUAAUAAAUGUAGAAGUCAUGUACCUAUAACCCCAAUGAGUAUAACAUAUAGCACUAGGAUCUUGUGCUCCAGAUGCAUCUCCAAAUCCCUUCAAUAAGAAGUUUGUUCUAAAAGAUUGUCUUGCUUUAUAUGUGAAGCCAGCACUUUUUAUUUCCCCAAAAGUUGGUGCAAAUAUUAACAAACUAGAAGAGAGUUCUUUAAUUUCUAACAGCGUGCCUGCAACGGGAAAUAUUAGUAUGUCAUCUUAAAUGAGGCAGCUAUUGUUGUUUAAGUCUUAGUUGUAAGAAGAAGAUUCACUUGCAGCAUCAAAAUUUUAAAACACUUCCAGCAGGUUUAUAAAUUUUUCUGUCUUGAUGACCGCAAUUUAGAUCACAUGUCACAAGCAUCAAGUCCUAUCAAGGCAAUUCAAAUAUCUAACUAUUUCAUGGAGAAAAAACAUUCUUUAUUCCCCCAACUCCCCUCCCCCAAAAAAAAUUAUAAACUAAAGAGUAAAGACCAUUGCAUGUUUGUUGUUACCAUAUGCACAAUCUUGUCACUAUAGGUAAUACUAAGAACAAAUAAUGAAGACUUUUGGUCCAAAGCAGCAUAUAUACAGCUUUUAAUGAACAAAAAAUAUGCCACACCUAAUGAACAGCAAAGGCUAUGCAACAACUUGCAAUCUAAAUAUUACCCAGCAAAUGGUAUGAAUAUGAAAUAAAACCGUGUCAACACUUACCUAAAGAACUGAUUAGAUGCCGUGGUUUGCCAAUGUUCAAAUCAUUUGGCAGUUUAAAUCAAUUAGCUGGUUGUUAAGUAUGAAAAACACCUCAUUUUAAGACGGAAACUUCUCAUCCAUUGAUAAAAAACUUCUCAUUCAUUGAUAAGAACACUUCAUUUCAUUCAUCAUUUGCAGAAUUCAUACUUUAAUGCAAUUACAGAUUCAAUUAAAAUCUAAGAAAGAAAGCUCACAGCUGAGACCUGAAGUAAUUGCCAAAAUAGCUCAAAUUUACAUGACAAAGAAAGAAUUGUGUCAAUCUACAAAGUUCUCAACUUGCAGUGGCAGAGCCAACUCCAUUAGUUUCUUCUAUACUAACACAUUUUUUGCAUAUACAGCAAGGUAAAAGCAAGCCUUGUAGUAUAAUAAAAAUAUGAAACCAAUAGCUUCUGAUUGUCAAAAAACAAAGACAUGCUUGCUUGCGUCCACUCGAAAAACGCAUCGCAUACGCCUAACUAAAGUACCAAGAAACCUCUGAAACAUGAGUUCAAAUGAAACCAUACGAAGAUGAUUCAAAAACUGAGAUACCAGGGCCUCCAUCCACAAGAUAUUGGCAUCAUUGCCCAAGACAUGAAGACUGCCCCCAAAAGGAUGGCUAAGACGAGGAAUAGAACUGACCAUGCUCGGACACUAAAACGAUUAAAGAAAAUCUGCAAAAUCUAGAGUAGAGAAGACCGCACUUUGAUUUAGAGGAAGAAGAAACAAAACAGUAUUAUGGUUCAACUUGUAAAGAUAGUUUUCCUCUAAUAAUUUUCAUAACUUUCUAAAUCAAAUAUCGUACAAUUCAAGAGAGCUUUAAAUAUUUUCGAAUUUGAUCAAUAUGGGACGCAACGUAUCACAUGACAGAGAAUACAAAAUGACCCAAAAAAAAAUUUUGCUCUCCGAAACUUCAAGUCCCUCAACAUUCAAUUAUCUCUCCCAACAAACAAUCAAUCAAUUCCGCACUUUAUUAGCAAAGUUUCUAAACUUCCAUGUUUAAAGAUAAAAGAAAAAUAAAGUAAACUUGCAUGCGUAGCUGGAAAUAAAACAAAUCAAGACAGAAAAAAAAAACGGAUACCUUUAGCACUUGAUCCUAACCUUGCACUUCCACAACCCCAACCAACGUAGGCAGUAAGAAAAUCACGCUAGCAAUGAUAUCAUCCUGUCCAAUAAUCUUGAAACCAUCAUUAAUUAAGCCUCCUUCAGUCAAGCAUUCAUACGUCGCCUAGCCAUAGUGUAGAGCAAGAAAUUGGAUCAGCCUUCGAGCAUUAAUGCCGCCUCCCCUAGUACCACAUUGUAGGCCACAAAUCAUAGUAGUUAUGUAUAUGGCAGAGAAUGAUUUUCAGAAGAACCGGUUUCUAGGUGGAGUCAAUUCCUCAAGAAGAUCAAGCAAGACCCACUUUAUUCGAUAUCUGAUGGGGGGAUCGUUUUAUAUCUCUCCCAGCAAAGCAUGUAGUAUGACCAUUAACACAAUACUUAUACCAACAAGAGGGAACCAUAUAGAGAAUAUAUUUUCAUUUUCUUGCCAAUAGUGAAUUGAUAGCAUGACCAAAGAGAUCAAAGAUAAUGCAAAAGUAAUUCCACAUGAUAGAGAUUGAAGAAAGAGCUGAUGAUUGAUGAACAAUGGUGAAAGAAAGAAAGAAAAAUGAUAAUGAAUCUUGGAGAAUGUAAUGAAAGAAAGAGGCUGAAUCUUCAAGAGAAUGUUGUUGAUUAAUGCUAAAUCAAUUUUGUGAGUGACUCAGGCUUUGUUUAUUUAACUAACUGUAGAUUGGAGCCAAUUCUUAUAACUGAUUAUAAAACUAACUAUUAUUUACUACAAACUCAGGUUUAGCUCACUAACUAGAUAGUGAAUAUUUUAACUAAUUGUAACCAUUUCUUAUUUAAUGAAACCGUUAAAAAUAAAUAUGCGACAUGUCGUUGUAGUCUUAAUAGUUGGUUAAGUCUUACUUCCCUACACUCUAUUAGAUUUCAUAUUUUUGUGUUCUCUCCUAAAGGUAAUAUGCCAUGUUGUAUGAGCCACGCUUUAGCUAACCACUUCCUGCAUUUUGUAAUAUAUAGUUGUUACCUUGUUGUAGAGAAUUUUGCCAUCAUCAGAAGUACUUGUCAUACAACCCUAAGCAUUUAAUGACUCAACUUUAUAGUUUAUACUCUGCUUGUUUUUCUAACACUCUUUCUUGAUAUGCCCUUUCUUAUCACAAUUGUAGCAUUUGACAUUCUUCUUACUUCUUGAUUUUGAUCUAUUAUGAUUAUGCUCCCACUGGGGCCAUGUUUCGUUGAUCUCCCUCUCGUCAUCAAUAAUGCCUCAUCUUGUUGUGAGCAUACAUGUCUGCCUUCCUUAUUUUUCCACAUGUUGUCUUUAUUUAAUACCGAGGCUGGGAUAUCUUCAAAAACUAGACUGUCUGUCUGAUUGUUGUUCCCCAGAUUGAUGAUGGAUUGAUCAUAGAAUCUGGUAGACUUUAAAGUAGAAGCUCCGCACAUUCAUUUUCCUCUAUUUGAUAACCCAAUGUAAUAAGGUGUGAAAAUAAAGUUUUCACGGUGUUGAUAUGAGGUAGAUUAUACCAUUCAAAGAGUACAGAGUCUCCUUUUCAAGAAGAUCUUAUUGUGUAGUGACUUAGCCUUGUACAGUUUUGUGAGAGUGUCUCAUAUUUUCUCGAUAAUAUUUUUCCCCUCCACACUAGAUAACACUUCAUAAGCUAGUGAUGAAUGGAGAUCAACAAUUGCAUUAUCGUCUAUCUCGUUGCGCUUGGUGUCAUCGGUUAUCUCUAUGGGCAUUUCUCCAAUUGUUACCAAGUGGUGUGCAAUUUUUAAUGUUGUAGGUGUCAAUGUGUAAGUGUAAACAAUAAGUAAUAUACAGAUGAGUAUUCAGAUCGUCUCCACAUAGAUUAAUAUUAUCAUACUUGCUACAACAAUUUUAACAGUAAAGUUUUGUUCUAAAUUAGAGUAAGACUCGAGAUGGCAAUUGUACCCGCAAACUCGCAAACCGCCGUAACCCGCCUGCUAAAACCCGCCCACUGCGGGUAAUUUUACCUGUUGUGGGUGGGUUUAGUAUUAUAAAUUAAAACCCACGCAUGAAUGCGGAUGGGUUUGGUAUUGACCUUAUAUUCGGCGAAUACCAGCAUGGAUAUCCGCCAGACCCGCAAUAUUUUUUUCUAAAUAUUUUUUAUUUAAUUUUCAUUUAAAAAAUGUAUAAAGAAAAUUAUGUAAUUAUUCAAAAUGUAUAAAGGAAAUUGCAAUUAAAAUCAAAUUUGUAAAUAGCGAAAGGCCUAAAGCCAAAGUUGUGUAUGUGUGUACAGUGUACGUGGCCCAUCUCCCAUUCUAAAAUGAUAACCUAAAGCAAAUAAAGGCAUUUCCCCUUUUGAGUUUUUGACUUAGCCGCACAUGAGCUGACCAUUUCUCAUCUCUAUCUUCAAUUCUUCAUUCAACAUUCUUUUCUUCUUGAACCCGAGCUUGUGAUUUGUGACAGUGAGCCAGCUCUCUUCACUGCCAACAAGGAUGCGUCGUGCUGUUGCAGCUGCCUGGGUACCGUUGCUAUUGCAGCCAAUUUUGCAAUCGUGGACGGUACGAAAUUCUUAUGUCUUUCCUAACAAGUUGUAACUAAUUUUGUUGCUUAAUAAACAUGCCAGCUAAGUGAAAAAUAGCUUACAAACGUUUAUUGAAUUAAAUUUUAAUUUUAAUUUUCGUCUCUUUGUAAAUUUUAAUUUUAAGUAAAUAUUCAGACUUAAAAACGUUUAUUGAAUUAAAUAAGAUGAUGCAUGAUAUAGUAUUUUAUUUAACUCCAAUCAAUUUAGUUAAAAAAUUUGAAACUUAGAACGUCAACAAUCUAUUAAUUUUGUUGUUUUUGAGUUGAUUAUGUAAAUAGUUAGGCUAGCGUAAAUUGCUGAAUUCGCUUGCUAAUUUUUCAUUUUAUCUUUACUUAAUAAACAUGCCAGCUAAUCCAAUACCUGAUACGAUUUAAAAUCACUUAAAAUAGCAUGUUAAUUGAUAUAAUUUAAUUUAGCUUGUUUGGAAUCAGCAUGCAUAAUUUUGUACUUUCGGCUAGCUUAACUUGUUAACCCGAAAAUCGGUAUUCUUGUGUAUUGAUUUAAAAUCUGUUGAAAUUUUUAAGGUAAAAGAUGGAGUAAGCCUUUGAUCUCAGCGACAAUAAUUCGCCUACAACAAGAACAGAAGUUCAGAUAGCUUCAAACCAAUCUCCAAUAACAUGUGAGGAACUUGUAGACAUUGAGGUAGCUUCAACCCAAACUCCAAUUUCAGUACAUGAAAAAGAAAUUGCUUCUGGUGAUACUGAAAAUAGUAAAUUGACUAGUGAUGUUUGGGAAUACUUUAAAAGACAGAAAGUUAGUGGGAAAUUAGAAUAUGUAGCUGUUUGCAACUACUGUCAUAAGAGAUUAAGUGCGAAGCGUAAAAAUGGCACUGGCCAUUUACACACUCAUAUGGGGUUGUGUUUUAUGCGGUCGAACCACACAGUUGAGUCAACUCAAAAUCAUCUACAAGCUAAGAAAGAGAGUGGAAAAUGUAAAGUAUCCACGUUUUCUUUUAAUCAAGAAACUUCAAGGAAAGAGCUUGCAAAUAUGAUAAUUAUUCAUGAGUAUCCGCUGAAUAUGGUUGAACAUUGGGCUUUUCAAAGAUUUGUUGGUUCUCUCCAGCCAAUGUUUAGGUUUGUCUCUCGUAAUGAGUAAAAAGUGACAUUGAAAAUUUGUGACUACGAGAGGGCCAAAACAAUGAGCUUGUUGGACUCAAAUCGGAGUAGAAUUGCGAUUACUACUGAUAUAUGGACUUCUAGUAACCAGCAAAAGGGAUUUAUAGCUAUAACAUCACAUUUUAUUGAUGAUAAUUGGGAGCUGCAAAUUCGUAUCAUUAGGUAGUUUCUACACUAAAUUACUAAGUCUAUUUUAGUUUUAAAUUUUAUACUUAUUACAUGAUACUAAUAAUUUUUUUUUAAUUUAGGAUCUUAUACGUGCCAUGUCCACAUACUGCUGAGGUACUCUCUGAAGCUUUGGUGUCAUGUUUGCUUGAGUGGUAAGUUGUCUACUUUGACUGUUGAUAACUGCACCACAAGUGAUGCCAUGAUUGAUAUCUUGCUGGAAAAGAUUUCUAGUAGUUUGCUUUCUUUGAAUGUGGAUUUAUUUCACAUGCGUUGUGCUGCUCAUAUAUUGAAUUUAAUUGUGAAGGAGGGGAUGAGUGUGAUUAGUGAUAGUAUUGAGAGAAUUCGUAAUAGUGUUCUAUUUUGGUCUGCCACACCUAAAAGACGAGAAACAUUUUAUGGGACUGCUCGUAAAUGUAAUAUUUCUUGUAAUAGAAAUCUAGUUCAGGACUGUAAGACUAGAUGGAACUCUACAUACUUAAUGCUUAAUAGAGCUUUGGUUUUCAAAGAAGUAUUUCCUCGUUUAAAACAAUGAGAAUCAUUAUACAAAUUUUUACCCACUGAAGAAGAUUGGGUUUUUGCUAAAGAAAUUCGAGAUAGACUUGAAUCAUUUUAUGAAGUGACUACAUUAUUUUCUGGGACUAGAUAUCCAACAGCUAAUAUUUACUUUUCAAGCAUUUGUGAGAUUAAAUUGUCAAUUUAUGAGUGGAUGUAUUCUAACUGUGAAAAAAUCUAAGCAAUGGCUGACUCAAUGAUUGGAAAGUUUGAAAAAUAUUGGAGUGUUGUUCAUGGAUUCAUGGCUAUGGCAGUUGUUUUGGACCCUAGAUUUAAGAUGAAAUUAAUCGAGUAUUAUUUUGACUUGCUGUAUGGAGAUGGUGCUAAAAAAGAGAUUGAGAAUGUUCGAAGCUUUUGUUAUGAUAUGUUGAAAGAUUAUCAAGCUAGGUGUAAGUCAAAAGAAAAUUCACAAGUUCCAGUUCAAGCUUCAAUUGCUUCAUCAUCUCGAGCUGUGGUAGCUCAUUCAAAACUUGGGAAACAUUUGGCUAAUUUUGAUGCUUUUGUAGAUCAAAGUGGUAGUACAACCCAUGUUAAAUUAGAAUUGGACUAUUAUUUGGAAGAAUCUAUUAUUCCAAGAUCUGAAAAUUUUGAUAUACUUUGUUGGUGGAAAACAAAUGGAUCAAAAUAUUCAACUUUGCAAGCAAUUGCAAGAGAUGUUUUAGCCAUUAUGGUAUCCACCGUUGCAUCCGAGUCGGCAUUUAGUACUGGUGGUAGAUUUGUCUCUCCACAUUGUAGUAGACUUCAUCCAAAGACAUUGGAAGCUUUAAUGUGUGCUCAAAAUUGGUUGUUUGCUGAAUUUGAUGGUAUGAAAUUGUAUUUUUACUUCAAUAGAAUAUAAUAUCUAGUAUACAUUACAAUUUACAAAUUUAUAAUCAUCUAUAUUUUUUUCUUGAUAUACUCGUUACCUGUAGAUGCAGAUUCUUCUAAUAAAGCAAGAAAUAGCAAAUUGUCCGAAGAUGAAGAUAUUGUUGAUGAGGUAAAGAAUUACGUCUCUUUAACUUAAUUCAUAGAUUAUUAUAUACCUAUUAUAAUUUUGUAUGUACUAUUUUUCUUUAACUUAAUACAUGAAUUAUUUCAUUAUUAUAAUUUUUUCUCCGAAUUAGUAUUUGAAAAUAUUAAUAUUAAUUAUUAUUGUAGGCAUCGUGUUGGAUGGGUGCUUGUGGUGGUGAAUGAAAUGAAGUAUCUUCUCUUGGAGCUUGUUUUAAAUGAUGAUAUGAAAUGUAAGUGUUAUUUUUUUAUACUAAUUUAUGUUUUGUAAAUGGAUUUGUGUAAUUUAUACUUAAAUUUGAGAAUUUGUGUUGGAUUGAUGUUGAACUUUUAAUUUUUCAUUUACAUUGUUAAAUGUAAAAUUGAGUAUAUUAUGUAGAAUUUGAGGUUAUUAUUAUAAAUUUAUAUAUUAAAUAUUUGUGAUUUUAAAUGUAGAAACCCGCAAAAAAUCCGCCGGAUACUAUUACGGAUUUGGUAAUUGUUAAAACUCGUUGUGGGUGGAUUUUCUUAAAAAAAUUAAAACCCGCCACGGGUUGCGAGUGGGUUUGGUAAUUUAAAGUUUAUGCGGGUUUGGGUUUGGUAAUGGCAAACCCGCUGUGGGUGGUGCCCAUUGCCAUCCCUAAGUAAGACAAUUAAUGAAACUAAUAAACUAAUUAAAAUAAAAAUGCAAUAAAUAAAAAUGUAAUAAAGAAAAUUAUCACGUCAACACAGGGAUUUAACAAAUGGGAAUAUAAGUAGUUGAGUGAAUAAUCUCACUUAAUGGCAUUGACUAUUUUUCAAUUACAGUACCGUUGCUACAACAUCUACUACAGCACUGGGCCGAGUCCCUCAUGCAUCUUUAAUUGUUACUUGUUGGAUAUCUUAUAUCUAAUACAACUUAACAGUGACCAAUUGUUAUGCCAACAUAAAAUAUAUCACCAAACGAUCUAGGUUCCAUUUACUCUACAAGGUGAAUCCUUAUGUCUAGUUCAUCACUAAUUUUAAAUUAAGCAUGGCCCUAUCAAAUUGAGAUUUACUCAACUUAGGAAACCUAAUUUAAAAUCAAGUAUUUUCUUAAUGAGAUCCACUAAGUCAGACAUUUCUCAGGCACUUUCUUAGCUAGUAUCCCUAAAUGGGUGGUCAGCCGAAAUAGAGAAUUAAAAUAAAUCAAUUAAGACAAAGUGUUAUAGCAAACACAGAGCAACAUGAAUAUGUCAGUCAAACAUCUAUUAAGAUCAUUUUAUCACUCAACCACAAUCAAAUUUAAUUCAUGAUUUGCGAUUAAAAAAAUAAAUAAAAGAGUUUCAACCAUUAAAUACAUCCCUAUAAUGAAAUAGAAAACAAGAAAAUUAAAAAAGGACUAAUUUUCUAAUUCAUCUUUGCGAUUUGUCCUUUGUCAGUCUUUAAUCUCUCCCUUGAUUUAUGUUUUCUUAUUGCUUCUUUUUUCGAUUUUUCUCCUUGAGUGACGACUCUCUCUUUCCUUUGCAAGCGUGCUUAUUGUAUAGUUGAGAAUUAGGGCUGAAAUACUAUCUAAGCAACCCAACAGGGAGGGCGGUGAAUUGGGUUAUUAAAAAUUAAGUUAAGCAAACCACAUAACAAUUUAAUAUAAUGCCUUAAUGGAAUAAAAAAUAAUAAAUUCAAUCAAGCAUAAUAAUAAAAGAGUAAGGGAAGAGAAAACGAACACAAGGAUUUUUACAUGGUUCGGCAAUCUCCGACUACGUCCACACCUCCAAACACACCCGGCUUGAAGAUUUCACUAUCCAAGCCUCCCAAUGCUUCAAACGCUUACAAUUGACUUCCAAGGUGUCAAUUGACCUUUACAACAAGAGAUUAUCCCCAAUCUUUUAACAUAAGUGUAUCCUAACACUUACAACCUCUCAAAGAUAAUGAUUACAAAUGAAUUUUCUCUCACACAAUGGUUUGAUUACAAAUGAAUGCUCAAUGUGUGAAUCAAAGAAACAAAAACAAGUUCAAAGCUCAAUAAUAGUUUUAUGCUCAAUAGCAAGCUCAAUGAUAACUCUUGGAUCUGUUUUUGUUUGAAUGGGAUUGAGCUUAUUUAUAGUUGGAGCUGAAAACUAACCGUUAUUGACUUUCUGCACGAAAACAGUUCGCCGUUAAUCAUUAUCGGUUAACCGUUUUGGCUGGUCCAAGUUACUGUUCGGUUGAAUUUCAAAUAAACGGCUAACCGCUUGUCACUAUCGGUUAACCGUUAAUUUCCAGAGACCUGCAAAACAAAUUUGGCUUAACCGUUUUCACUAAACGGUUCAAGGUUAGCAAUUUGGAAAUUAUCGGUUCACCGUUUUUCCAUAAACGGUUCACCGUUUGCUACAUAAACUGCUACAAUGAAAUUAUUUUCUAAAAUUAUAUUUUUACCCCAAAACUGUCUAUAAUUAUACUAUGACCCAAAUCGUCAUAAAACUUUACAAAUCAGUCCAUUUCUGUAGUUUUAAAACUUUUUCAAUUUGUCCAUGAACUUGAAAACUAACCAAUUCUAUAAAAUCAUUUUUCCUUCAAGUAUAAAACCUUAUAUUAUUAAAAUAAUGAUUUUUUUAAAAUGUAUGAAAAAUAAUUUGAGCUUUUAAAACCUUAAUCUUUCUUAAUCUUGUUCGUUAUCAUCAAAAUCAACAUUAUGGAUACAUAUAUGCUAACAAGGGCAAUCAGAAGUGUAGGAUGUGUAUCUUCCAUUUUUGGAAACUUUAAAUCGCAAUGUGUUAAAUAUGUCGCGUGAACUCUUCUUUGUUAAUGCUUUAGGAUUGCUACAGCACGGUGCUACAGUUACGUGCUACAGCAUUUUCAUUGUUUCUUAUUUGUUUCAAUUCUUAUGUAGCCCAGUUCUUUCAUUAUCUCUGUAAGUCCAUUGGCACACAUUCUUUUCUUGAAAUUUAAGCUUCUGGUUACCUACAAUUACGCAGAUAAUCUAAGCAUAAAUUAUUCUAAAACAACUAAAUUUAUUAAAAAUAAACUAUAACAAAUGUUCAUUCAAAUACAACUAAAAUGCAAUGAGAACAAAUCAUUUACUCUCUAAGUAUUACUGAUUUAAGCUAAAACAUAUCAUGAUAACUCUCAUUUCAUAGAGUUAUCACCAAGCAAUUGUUUUACCUCAGAAUAGCUUUCAUCUUCAUUUUCCACAACAAGAAAUUGUUUAGGUUGAACUUUUCAGUUUUGUAUUUUGCCACCAUUGUUUCUCACCAAGAACUGUCUUUGCUAGGAUCAAAUCCUAUUGUUUCAUAUGAAUAGUAACCACACAUGUAAACAUUACUGUAUACGUAAAGCUGAUGUAUACGUGAACAGUACCCCAACUCCAAAAAUAAAACUAAUAGUUCUGAUACAUUGUUAGAAAAUUGAUGGGGAAGCAGGACCACAACUAAAAUGAAAUUGUAGAAAAAUAAUGAACAAGCACACAAAGUGGACAUCAGAAUUUACGUGGUUUACCUUGUAACCUACGUCCACCAGUAAAGAUAGAAGGAUAUAUUGUACUAGUGAAAAUGAGUUACAAGUAUUAUAGUAUUUUAUCUCACAAUGCAAAACCCCAAUACACCCAAAUUCUCAAAUCAUUAAAGCAAGAACUUAAUGCUCUGUCACUCUCAACUUUCGAUUUCUCUUUAAAAUGAAUUUAAGAAUGGAAAGCUCAAAACCUAUAGGAACUCCCCUUUUUAUAGCAAAAAUUAACUAUUAAAAUAAUAUUUUUUGUCGAACCACAAGCAACUUGACAUUAGUACCCAACUUUGAUAGCUCUAGCUUCAGCUAGUUAAGCAAACAAAUCAGAAUUACUCACUCACAUACACAAACAAAUAGUUAUUAAAGAUUCAACAACAUUAAUUCUCUUUAGGACUCAGCUUCUUUCUUUCACUUUAUUAUCCAAUAUUCAUCAUCAUCUUUCUUUUAUUCUUUCUUUCACCAUUAAUAUUCAUCAACUCGUUAUUCAUACUUCAUCAUGUGGACUAGUUGGGACUCCUUUAGCUAUUUCUUCCUUUUUUUUUUCUUUCUUGUUAACAGCUCAAAUCUUUCCUAGAUAGGAAAAUAUGUUCUCCACAAUCAUUUACUAGGUGGGUGGACUUAAUGGAUCUUUUGAGUUGAUGGUCUUCAUACUUUACUGACUGAAAACGCAUAUAAAGCUGAUCUUUGGGGGUCCGAUCAUGAGAUAUGUUGUAAAGAGUCUCUUGCUUGUUCUUCUUAAAGAAAUAAGUCCACUUGGAAAAUUGUUUUACUUGAAAUUAUUCUCUGCAAUAUUCAUAAGUGCUACGAUUCAUAAAUUGCAAAGUACAAAGUGACCGAAAAGAACAUUUAACUCUCUGUAACUUCAAGUCUCUCAACAUUCAAUUAUCUUUACCAACAAACAAUCAAUCCAUUCCCCACUUUAUUAGAAAAGUUUCUAAACUUCCAUGUUUAAAGAUUAAAGAAAAAUAAGGCAAACUUUCAUGCAUAGCUGGAAAUGAAACAAAUCAAGACAAAAGAGAGAACAUAUACCUUUCUCACUUGAUCACAAUAGAGACAAUGUGAAGCAUUGAAAGCCAUAAUCAGAUAGAUAGAAGUGAUAGUUGUGCCUGAUUAUUUUCUGAAUACAAUCAAAGAAAGAGCAAAAUCGUUUUCCAACAAGACAACUAAACAAAAGAAUCAACCUCAUGUAUCACAAGCCAUACUUUUAACUAAACAGAGCUGGCAAUCAUGUGUCUACUACUUUGUUCUACUACUUAUACCAGACAAGAAGUCCAGAGAUCGAUUUUGAAGACGAUUUAUCAUAAGUCUUGUGAAUCUCAUUACCAAAGAAUCCUUAGCACUCCUCCUUUAUGUUUACAUAUUCAAACCCAACAUCAUAUCAAUCACAGUACUCAUAUGACAAUUGAGAGAACAAGUCUAAAUGUUUAAAUAAAUUCUCCUUCUUAAUUAUGCUCAAUGCGAAAAUUGAGAGAAAAGUAUAUGGGACAUUGAAUUGUACGCAAAUUACAGUAAGAAAAAAAGCAUUAAUUUUUUGUUAGAAGAUGUCAGUUAAUUCACAUAAAUACAAAAGAUUCUAAGAAAUAUUGUUCGAGAGGUGUAAACAGUGAAAGAAUGAUACAAAUUACCAAGAGUUUUGUUUAUAAUUUCACGUAUGAGUUGUUGUUCACAACUUCACAUAUGAUUUGACUGAGCACACAAAAAGAAAAAUAGUAAUAAUAAAAAAGAGAAGUUGAGAAAGAGACGACGAGACUCAUGAAUGGUGUUUACGAUCUAGGGUUAGUUUUGGAAAUUACGUGAGUGUUAAUAGCAAUAAUAUGAUGUUUUUAAAUUUGUGAUGGUGUUUAUUUAGUAGAAGGGUUUUAAGAGAACAUUAGAGGUGUGCCAAUAGCACCACUCGUUCUUUUCAUGACCAUUUUACCGUGGUCCGUUUGGGCAAUUUCUUCAUGUCUUAGGUAAUGAUGCUUACCUCUGGUGGAUGUAGGCCAGGGCAUCUCAAUUUUAGGAGUAUCAAUCUUCAAAUGAUUCUUUGAACUAAGUUUUAGCAAUUUCUUAAUAUUUUAGGCAUAUGCAAUUUGAUUGCUUCUACUUAAAUUUCACCAACUUCUUCAUACUAUAGUUGUAUACACUGCAUUGUUUUUAUGGAUGCAGUCAAGCAUAUCAGUUUCUUUUACCUAUCAGAGCAGUCAGUUCAUAUUACCUUGUUGUGCAUGCAUAGGAUGUCUCAGAAGAAGAAACUAAGAAAUUGGCUCUGCCAUUGCAAGUUGAGAACUUUGUAAAUUGACAUUGACACAAUUAUUUCUCAUGUAAAUUUGAGACAUUUUGGCCAUCACAUAAUCUGAGCUUUGAGCCUCUUUCAUUCUUAGAUUUUAAUAUACUUUCUAUCUCCAUUUUGACCAUUCACUUUGUAAAUGAUGAACAAAAAAUCCCGGAUCCAACAAACCUUUGCAUGUUUGCACUCACAGCACAAACAGAGGGGAGCAUUUCCAUGAAAAACAAAUCCUACAUUUUUCUUUCUGUUAAAGCAAGGUGGAGUCCUGGAUCUUCCAAAACUUGUUCAUUGAACUUAAAAAGAUUAUAUCAAAACCUGCCUUUGAAUUUCCAGGGGGAAAAAUUGAAACAAAAAAAAAAAUAGACAUGAUUCUAUGAAAUUGAUUUGACAAAUGAAAAUAUACCAAGCAGGCUGCGGGACCAAAAGCGAAUGAUUCCCAUAGAAUGAGAUGUCAAUACGCAACCAUUUAAUGAAGAAAGAUAAAUGGACAAUAUGAAGCAUUGACCGCAAUAGCUGCACCUGCUUAUUUUCUGAAUACAAUUGAAGAAAGGGCAAAAUCAUAUGCCUGCUGCUUUGUUCUACUGAUAACACCAAACAAGAAGUCCAGAGGUUUUGAAGCUUUCGCCGAGCCAUUAAGUGAACCUACACAACUACCACCACCAUUAUUACUACCCCUUGUGGCGCUAUUUUGGGGUCAUAUGGUGCCUUCCAGUAUCCUUGUGCUGAGUAAUCUGAAUCAAAUGCAGUAUUGUAUUACUUCAGCAAGUCACACCAGAUAAGUGGGAUGAACAACCGUAGUCAUGACACUCUCCAUGUCACAGCAAUGAUCCACAGUUUCAUAACAUAUUUGAAAGGAAGAGUAACCAGCAAAGCUAGCAAAAAGAAAUGGAGGGAAUUGUUUAUAAAAAUGAUUCAAAACUUGCUUUCCUUUUCAAAUGAAGCUUCAGCUAAAAUACUUUUGGUGUGCUAAAAGCAAAUGUAUCGAUCAUAUUGUCAUCUACAAAAUUUUGACCAUGAGCUGCCAAUUGACUCCUCUUGAAGAGACUUUCUAAGUCAUCAAGCAACCACUGUUUUUGCUAUAGUUUGGCCUUGAUACUGCUUAUAUUUCUCCGCCGUUUGAAUUAUCAGCGCCUAUAUCAGCUGAAAUUGAAUCAUGUAAUCCUCUCAACUAUAUGCUCUCAAUAAAUUCUUUUGUUGACAGAAUAUUAUCUUUUGAAAGAUAAUAUUCUUUUCACUUUUAACAGGAUUGCAGAACCUAGUAUUUGCUUAUUAUUUGGGCAAUAAAAUUCAACGAUAUAUAAAAACAAUUCUCCGUUUUGUGCUUUAAAUAAAACUUUUGACUAUUAUUUUGGGCAAUAAAAUUCAAUGAUAUAUAAAAACAAUUCUCCGUUUUGUGCUUUAAAUAAAACUUUUGACGAAUUUUUUUUUCCCUCCUUAUCUCAAGCAUCAAUAUAAAAUUGCACACAUACAUAAAAAAAGAAAGAGCUACUAAUUUAUAAUAAAAAAAAUCAUCCUGUAACUUCAAAGGAAAAAGAAAUAGAAUAAACCAAAUAACAAAAAAAAAAAUUGAAGAAAAAAAGAAAAAAAAAUGCUAUUCUAAUUAAAUAAGAACAAAAAACGAGAAAUAUCGUAUGAUUAAACAUUUUUAGAAAUUUUGAAUGUGGAAAUCAUUAAAGAGAUAAAGAGGGGGUUGUUUGAGGAUAAUAGUGGUGUUAUUAGAAUAUGAACUUCUAAAUUAUUUUUUUUCUUUAAUCGACACAUCUUUAGGACAAAGAUUUUUUCAAGACUUUCUAAAGGGUGUUAGUUAAAAUAAUUUUAUUUAUAAUUUUCUUUAAAUAUAAUUUUAAUAAAAUAGAGGUUUUAUGAAAAUAAUCAAGGAUGCCAAUAGUCCAACGCAUAAUAAAUUCCAAGAAGAAAAGAAAUUGAUUAUGUCAAAAGUCCAUACUUUUCGACAAAUAGAAAAGCAUUGAGAUUCACAGUCAAGCAUUAUCGCGUUCUAUCAUACAGAAGGGUAUUUAGGUAAUUUAACUUCACAUUUGUUACUUUUGGGAUAGUCUCACAUUGUUGGCUUCCCUGUUCUCCGUGCUCCUUGCUAAGUUGCACCGGGCUUGGAGUUUGAUAGAUGAAUCAAGUCUUUCAACUAGGACUCAAAGCUUUCGUUACUCCUGCUGGGUACUUUCUUUCUUCGCUUUUUCAGUAAUAAAAAUGUAAUUUUUGUUCUGGGAUUAAAUUAAUUAGCUUUAACGAUUCAAAAUACUGUGCCUCUUCAUCCGCUGGUACGGUGGUAUUGUGUUCAUUUAUGACAGCUUCAGUUAUUCUAUAAAAAUCAUUUCUUUUAUAUUAAAGAAAUUAUUUUUGUCUGUUUUAAUAUAUCUCUUUUCUUCUUUAGCUUUGCAGUUACUCCAAGAAAUUUUAGAAUCGGAACCUUUGUCUCCUUCAGAGCUAUGAAGCCUAAACGGCAUCUUGCAAGUUCAUCCAAACCGGCAUCGUCUUUCAAUAACAUGGAAGAUGAAAAGGUGAACAGAUUAGUGGGUUCGACCCCAAAGGUGUGCCAUGGUUUUGAUUUUUGUUGCUGAUAGUUUUAACUUGCCUCAUUGUCUUGUGGGUUUGUGUAUCGAGUCACUGUCAAUAUUAGUUAGUGUACAAGAAGAUAGUGAGACAAUUGGAGUAAUUAAGGAAAAUUUUAACUGUAAAUUGAUGUGUAGGAUAUUGGUGUAGAAAGCGAUGAAGCUGGAAUUCAGAGUGUAAAGGAUAAUCCCGAGAGAAUUGAGGUCAUGACAGUUCAAGAACUCAGAACUAUAUUGAGGUAAGCCAAAGUUUUAAAGGCUCAACAUUCAGAAAGACAUGAAAUUUUGUAUCAUGCAUAUAUAACUUUCAGAAAAACCCACACGAUUUACGUCUGAUGUGCAUUCAGAUUAUUAGGUUUCAUUUGGGUUGCCUGAGAUAUGGAGGGGGGGUGCUUUUGUUCUGGAAGCUUCAUGACAAACUAGUAUAUAUGCAACUAACUGUAUAUAUGCAACUAACUUGAAAUGGUUGAGUUGUCAGCUUCUCUGUAUUACUUGCAUUUCUUGUGCCUCGUCUUGAACGGUCAAUGACGGUUCUUCAAAUUGAUUUGGAGAAUGAAAUCAAUUGAGUGGAUGGUUGAUGGGCAGAAUACUAUGUUGCACCUCUAUUUGUAGUGUUUGUUAGUAUGCUUAUUUCAUUCUUAAUCAUCAGGAGUAUUGGGGUCCCUGCUAAAGGUUCUAAACGUGAUCUAGUAUCCGCCUUGAAGGUUUAUGUGGAGAAGAAGAUGGAAGGUAAACUCUUUUUACCAAAGAAUCAAAUUUCAAUAUUCUCCAGUAUUUUGCAUAGCGUCGUGUCAUUUCCAUUAAGAUUGGAGCAGAAGUAUUUUCGUUACUCUCAAUUGUUUGUUUUACCUUUGUUCUGCCUCGUCCUUGUUCUCUCAAUCAGUUUUGGUUCAAUGCUAUGUUGCUUAUUUUUAAAGGUUGGAAGUUUCUUCUAUGUGCAGUUGGUAGUUCUCAUGUGGAAAUAGAAGAGGUAUCCUCCAUUUCUGCUGAAAGUGUAUCAGUAAAAAGGAAGGCUAAUACGAAAAGUAUAUCAGGGGAGAGGAAGGCUAAGAAGUUUUCUCAUGAGGAACAUGCUCAAGAAAUUUAUUCUGUUCCAGAAGUUUCUGCACUCCAAGAAAGUAAGAGAAGGGCUAAAAAAUCACCAAUUGGUGAUGAAACUGGUGAAGUUGAUGCUAAAGCCUCAGUCAAAACUGAUAAGAUUUCAGGUACAGUAGAAUAUAUGUAUACAGUUUUCACUGCUUUAUUAUUUUGAACUUUUGCUUCAUUAAUAAUCAUUUGGCAUCCUUUGUUAAUUUAAAAUGCACUCUUUCUCCAACUUACAUGUUCUUUAGGUCGUUAAUCUGAGUACAUUCGGUUUUAUCAGGAGCAUAGACACCUGGUUAUUGUUUCUAGGCAGGGUCCUUUUGAUAAAAAGUAAAUAAUAUUAGGUAUGUAUAUUAAUAGUGAAAUGGCUACUGAUGAUAGUGCAGUUACUCUGCCAACAGUCCAAAGUGAACCUUGGACAAUGCUUGCGCAUAAGAAGCCUCAAAAGGGAUGGAUUGCUUAUAACCCUAGAACUAUGAGGCCUCCACCUCUGGCAGAGGGUACAAAAUCUGUGAAGCUUCUGUCUUGGAAUGUCAAUGGGUUAAGAGCGUUACUGAAGUUAGAAGGAUUCUCUGUACUGCAACUGGCCCAAAGGGAAAAUUUUGAUGUAUUGUGCUUGCAAGAAACCAAACUGCAGGCAAGUAUUCCAGUACUUCUUGACGUGCAUUUAAUCUAAACUUGUAGAACAUGUGGGAACAGCAUGUAAAUGGUGUAAGGUUGUUUCUUUUGCCAAUUGCUUUCUUUGUGGUAUCAAAUGCAUCUCAAUGUUGGAAACAGGAAAAAGAUGUCGAAUCAAUCAAACAGUGUCUCCUAGAUGGAUAUGAGAAUAGCUUCUGGACAUGUAGCGCUUCUAAACUUGGGUAUUCUGGUACAGCAAUUAUCUCACGGGUAUGCUUAUUAUUUCCAUCAACUUUUAUACUUGAGAAGCCAGAUUAAAUCUUUAGAAAUCAUAUUUUCUCACUUUGUUUGAAAUUUUGUGGCAAUGUUUAUCUCUGCUGUAGUUUGAGCAGGGAGGCUGUUUUCUUGAACAAAGUAUUUUUUCCCCCUCCAAUGCUGAUUAUCAAGUGUCCAACUAUAUGCUGAUUGAUUUUUGCAUUGCAACUAUUUCUUUUACUUCGGUGAUGAUUUUGCUAAAUGGUUUGCGUUCUAAAGUUUUUAACAUUUAUUGGGUAGAUAAAACCACUCUCAGUCACAUAUGGCCUAGGCAUAUCAGAUCACGACAGUGAGGGACGGCUGGUGACAGCAGAGUUUGAUUCAUUUUUUCUGUUAAGCUGUUAUGUUCCAAACUCUGGAGAUGGCUUGAGAAGACUGGUGAUGAGCUCAAGCAUCUUGUAUUAUGUUGCUAAUCUAUUUUAUUCUUCGAAGAGUUUUUUGACUGAUGUCUAUGCUUUCAAUUCUAGUCAUACAGAAUUAGAGAAUGGGAUCCAUCUCUUAGCAGCUAUGUGAAAGUAAGUAUGUUCUCUCUCUCUCUCAAUUUAUUUAUUUAUUUAUUUUUUAUGCUUCUUUAUAAAUACUAUGUUUUUAAGUUACUAUAAGCUGUGGCUACAAAUAUACGUCCAUAUUAGGGAGACAUCUCUAUGCUUAUAUGUGUGUGUUUUUCUCUCUCUAUCAUUUUCUAGAAACAUAAGCCUUUAUGAUUCAUGUAGUUGUAACUUGUUGCUUUUUAGAAAAAAAAAAUCGCAUCUUUUACGCACGACCUCCAACAGUGUGCAACUUCUUCUGUUUCCUUUUCCUUUUAUUUUAUUUUUUUAUUUUUUUAUUUUUUUUAUUUUUUUGUGGAUGUAAUAUGUCUAUCGACAUGGUGUUUUUUUCUUCACAAAAUAGUUAGAUAUUUGAAGUGCCUUUGAUGCUUAUGAUACUUCAUAUGCAUGAUUCAGGAGCUGGAAAAGAAGAAGCCUGUCAUUUUGACUGGUGAUCUUAAUUGUGCUCAUCAGGAGAUAGACAUUUAUAACCCUGCUGUAAGUGAUUUAAAAUUUUGAAGCUGCAAGUAAAUCUUCUUCUUCUAGGAGCUAAGACUUGAACAAAAUAGCAUCCUCAAUUACGAUGACAUCGGAAUAUUUGCCACUGCAGGCUCUCUGUUACAAUUUAAGAACUCACUUCUAGUUUUAACAAUAAGUGUUGCUUGUUAAUAUUUGCAUCAAUUUGUAGGGAAAUAGAAGAAGUGCUGGCUUCACAGAUGAAGAAAGACAAUCUUUUGGCGCAAACUUCUUAUCUAAAGGUUUUGUAGAUACCUUCAGAGCACAACAUCCUGGUGUUGUAGGCUAUACUUAUUGGGGUUAUAGGCAUGGUGGGCGCAAAACCAAUAGAGGUAGAGAACUUCUACCUUGAUUAUUCUAUAGCUGUAUCUAGAAAGUACUUAUUUUUUACCCCUCAUUUGCUGUAUUCUACUCUGUCAUAUUUUCAAGUGUUCUCCAUUUCAGCAAAUUUCUGUGCCUCAAAAUGCUCUUAAUUUAAUGUCUGUCAAAAUUUAAAUACGCAUUAUCCUCUUUUGACUCCAUUUAUUGAACAGGGUGGCGGCUUGACUACUUCCUAGUAUCAGAAUCUCUAGCUGAUAAGUUCCAUGAUUCAUACAUUCUUCCUGAUGUUACCGGUAGCGAUCAUUCUCCAAUUGGCCUUAUUCUCAAGCUCUAGUUCUUCUAUUGGCGUCAGAACCAAUUAUUGCGGACAAUUAGGGUAGGCUUAUCUGGUGGGUUAAUCUUUAUUUCCAACUUAAGAGAACUACCUCUGAUGACAGGAAACUGAGACUGGUCACCAUGUUGUCCCCAUUAUGUUGGUGUGACCAUGGUAAGCAUAAAUGCUUCGUCUCAAUCUCCUACCUAGUAUUGAUUUGAUUUUGUCUGUGACAAAAUUUUGAAGAUGUUGGAAACUCUGUACAGAUCCAGCAGAAAUUUUCGGUUAGGAGGCACUCAAAUAGACACUAGUAUUUCUGUACUUGACCGCGUUGGCCGUUCGGAAACUAGCCAUUUUCUGAUUUUCGAAAUUAUCAUUGUUAAGUACCAGAUUUUGAGGAGUAUUUGUCUGAUAUUCAGGAAUGGUGUUAGCUCUUUGCAUUAUGCUAGCAUGGUUGCUCACCUGAGAGUGAGAGAUAAUAGCGUAAGAUUGUUGUUGCAUAUUCUCGAAUAGUCACUUCCAUGCAUGGUAAGUUGGGGAAUUUAUGAAACAGAUUCUGAUGAGUGUAAACAUAGUGCCUUUCGUUGAGAAACAGACAAUGAUUAUAAUUUGCAGCUGC